GUCAAGAUGGUUUCAGCUAAAUUAAUAGCCACUGGAUUGAUUUGUGUAUUCUCAUACUCUACAUAAGCAGCAGCGGCCUCCAAACUCACUAAACCUGUCUGACUUGGGAACAACACAAGGCCAAAAAUGCCCAAGGCAAUCAAUCUCUCUUGUUCUGAUCCUGACUUCUUUUCCAGCUCAAUUUCUAGCAUCCUCCAUUUCAGACUGGUAUCAUUCUUUCCCAAAACUUUUUCCAAGUUGGAGAUUCUAAGCAGUUUUGACAAUUCGGGGAUUAUCUUGUCAAAUCUCAAAGGAAAAUAAAUCCUAUACAAAUUGUUUGGAAACUCAAUCAACAUCCUAUAUUCCUUCAUAGUGGGACAUAGGUCUAUGCUUCCAAAAGAAAAACACUGGUAGUCUAGAUCUCCAAAUGAACUAAGACUCGCACAGCUAGGCUUAAAACUUCUACCCUUGCAAUUUCCAUCAAACGUCUGUAUCUACUAAAAAUGCAUCCUUAUCCACAUUCUGAAAGUGAGUCGUUAACUUGUUCACCUCAUUCAUAAUGCAAUUCAGGUUCUUGAUUGGUGACAGUUUCUUGGCAUCGCUUCUAAGGCAAUCUCUUUCAGUCAAUUGUGACAUUUCAGAAUUUUUUUCAUAUUCUAUGAUGGAAAAUUUAGCAAUGGUGGCCAUUUCAUUCACAAGUCCUGGGAUUCAAAAUGCCUUAGGUUUAGACUUGUUUUGAUGCAAAAGAUAUUAUGGAGCAUACAACCUUAAGGAUAGGUUCUAGUUCCUUUACGUGAGACAUAGGGUAGGUUUACUACUUGGUCUCUAAAAAAGGGUCUCUUGCUGUCCCAGUGAUCGCCCUUGUAAAGGCAAUAUGGGGGUUCAACAGAUAGUGGGAUGGCAAAUGUACCAAUCACUAUCAGUCUAAACACUCAGCAAAGAGUUGGGGUUUACACAAACUUAAACCUUGACUCAAGUCAUAAGGCAAGCUGCUAGUCCCCCACCUAACUUAAAGUUUAAUGUGUGUGCUCUCGACAAGAUAGUAAUAAUACAAGUGAUGCAUGAUAGGCUCUGCAAUAAAAUCUAUAUCCAUAUCCGAUAUACCAUGCAUGAUAGGAUGUAAAGAUGCAUGCUAAAGCUUUUAAACAAAGUAUCAUUCAUAGUAAAAAAAAAACAACAACACAUGGCAUAACAAAAAAAAACAAUUACCAAGCUUAGUCCAAGGGUCCCCAGCGGAGUUGCCAUCCUGUCGCACCCUCCCGAGAGCUCGACGUCGCGGCGACACUUCCUCCGUAGCGGGGAUUCGAUGUUGGGGUCUUUCUGUUGUGAAAAAGGGAGUCGCCACCUAGUAUUAUGGUCACUAGGAAACCUAACUGGUCUUUCAGAGAUUCUAAGGCAAGGGACUGGUUGCGUAAAGGGAAGGUUUUAGCACCCCUAGUACGCCCUACCUAAGGUAAGCUGCUUGGUGUUUGAUUUGCCUUAUAAUUGUUAUGGUGUUGAUGUUCUCUAAUCCCAUCAGUUUCCUAGGAUAAGUCUGCUCUGAUGAACGAAAUCUAGGGUGCUUUAAAAAACCUAUUUUUUGUCUCGUAAACCGUGGAGUAAAAAAAUUGAAAUGUCCUCGAUUAUAAUCAAGGCUUCUUUCAAGGAUUUGUGCGGAUUUAUUAUUCCUAGAAAAUUAUUUUGGAUAUUUACCACUCCGGGUUUCUUUAUCCAAAUAUUAACAGUGAAUAAUAACAAAUUAUUCCCAAUAAUAUUUUGGAUAUUCGUCCUUUAAAGAUUUCUUUAUCCAAACAUUAGCGGUGAAUAAUAGAUGAAUUCCCCCAAAAUAAGAUUUUUAUAUUUUUUGGAAUAUUGGCCAAUACCCUUUGGAGUUUUACAAACAUGUUGUAAAAUCCAGAAAUGCAAGAAAAAUGACUUUUGUUGUGUUUAAGAAAUCCAUGCGAAAACACAUUUUUAAAGCUUCAAAUAUUUGUUUUUUAUAUAAAAAAACAUAAAAACAAUGUUAGGGUAUUGGCCGUAUGCAGGAAAACAAAACAUUUUUUAUUUUAUAUUUUUUUUUGAUGUCUCGACGAAAACCGGGUAUUUUCAUACCGGACUUGUAUCUUUAUAGUACAAAAAUACAACCUUGCAGAAAAUCACAGAUUUUUUAAAUACAUCUUUGAAGAAAACUUUUUGAAUGAGCCAGACCCGGCCCAAAAGGAAAAUGGGCCGAAAUCAGCCCAAAAAUAAAAUGGGCCUACUUUCUACAGGGCUGGACUCAGCCCAGCCCAAACCACAUGACUGGUACUGUUCACUGUACAGUAAACGUGUAUUGUUCCUAUGCACAGUAACACGUUAAUUAAUUUUCCAGUUACUGUGCACAUGCACAGUAACCGGGUAAUUAUUAUUCUCACCUUAACAAAGCAAACUGCAUGCAAAAGACCACGUUACUGUUCAAGUGAAUUAAAUUUCACUUGAACAGUGCAAACACAAAGCAAAGAAUGCUCACGGUGCGGGAGGUGAAGAGAACAGACCUGGGAACGAACGGAUAACGGUGGCGAAGGCUUGCUGGCUGGUCGAUCAGUGCUGCCGUCCGCUUCAGCUUUCCCCCCUUUAUUCUCUGUUGGCGUUCUUCUUCUGAGUUUCCUCCUCUACAAUCUUCGGUCCUCUCUCUUUCUUCUGGUUUUCUGCACUUCUUCUUCCCUGUUUCUGCAGGUUUUAUAUGCAAGAAAAUGAAAGCAAAGACCAAAAAAGAUGAUGAGCUGGUGCGGUUGGUGGUGUUGCUGCGGCUGCCCUUCCUCCUCGUUUGUGCAGCUGCGGGUGCGGUUGGUGGUGUUGCUGCGGCUGCUCUUCCUCCUGGUGUGGCUGCUGGGACGAAGGAAUGAUGAGCUGGUGCGGUUGGUGGUGUUGCUGCCACUGCUUUUCCUCCUCUCUGGUGUUGCUGCUGCUCUUGCUUAUGGCUGCUCACAGUGGUCGUCUCCUUCACGGGUGGAAGAAAGUCUUCUGCUGGCAUGGCAAAGGAUCGGCGCCCUUGGAGUCUCGGUUUUCUGCUCCUUUACUGUCCUUUGGCCUCCCCUCUUACUUCUCCAUCUCUGUAAUGAGCUGCUGUUAGCAGCGAAGAGGAAGGGAGAGUGAAGGGCCGGCGCAGGAGCGGGAGCUGCACCCCAAUCAAACAGAAAGUCCACCUUGCUCUGGGCAUAAGUCGGCAGCAGGAAUGGAUUGUUGGGCUACAUCAGUUGUCCAUUGGCUAUCGGCUAUAGUGCUACUCCAUUCCCUAGCAGAAAUCCCGUAGUCAGUGGGAGGGAGUGCAUAAUCAGCAGCUGGAACUGUUUCCUCCUCUUCCUGUUGCUCUUUCACUAUUUGUCAAUCUCUCCUCUGCUUCCUUACGAACCCUGUCUGUCUCUUUUUUUGUUUUUUUCGAAAGGUUUCCCAACUCUCUGUUUCUUUCUUCCUACGCUGCCCAAUUCCCCUUCAUGUCUCCCUCCAUUCCUUUUUAUUUUUCAUGUUCUCCUCCCUUCUCCGUUUCCUUCCUGUUCUUCUCUUCUGUAUUCCCCUCUCAACAGUUCUUGGCGUGGCUGCUGGGAUGAAGAAUAUGAUGAGCUGGCGAUGGCGUUCUUCCCUCUGUUUUUGUUCCUGCUCCUUCUCUGUUUUCCCGUGGGCUGCUGCUUCGUUGCACCGCUGGAGGAGAAGGAACUGCUGAGAAGAAAAUGGUUGCUGCUGCUGUGGGGUUCGGUGGAGGCUGGUCUUAAGAGAAGCUGCUGGAUCGUGGGGAGAAUCUGGUGGUGUUGGGAGGAAGCCGACGAUGCCUCGCGGUGGUCAGGAAGGUGGCGGUGUGCUUCCAAACGGUGGAGGGAGUGAGCAGAGAGAGAGGUUACCGUCCUUCUCUUCCCCUCUGUUUUCCUCCUUUAACUGCCAUCUCCUUCGUUCAAAACCCCCCCUCUUUCAGUUUUCCAGCCCUCUCUCCCAUUUUCAAAAACUCUUCCCCCCUUUUCAAAAACUCUCCUCCUCCUUUCUAAUUUUCCAGCCCUCCCUCUUUUUCAAAAAACUCUUCCCCCCCCUUUUGCAGCUGCGUCAAAGGGGAGCGGGGCAGCAGCAUGCGCAUGGGGAGCAGGGGACACCAAGCCAGGGCAGCCUGCGCUGCUCCCCUGCCUGCGCUGCUCCCCACUCCUGAGGGUCUCGGGCAGCGGCAUGCACAUGGGGUGAAUGGUGUCUACACUAUUUUGGGGUUUUUCUUUUUUUCUUUUUUUUCUUUUUAUUUUUUAUUUUUAUGGGGAUCCAAAAAUGGGUUACAACAAUGACAAUGUCACCGAUGGAAUGAAAACCCGUCGGUAUAUUUCAAGCGAGAAUCUUUUUUUUUUUGUCGCGCACGUUCCGUAUGUAAAACCGUCGAUAAAUGGUUUUUUUGUUUUUUCGACUGAUAUACCGACGGAAUGGGGAAUCACCGACGAAGGUAAAGCUGACGGACUUAUUCCUUCGGUGAUGACGUCGGUAAAAAAAUCACUGACGAACUUCUAAUCAUACACCGACAGAAUUGUUCUGUCGGUAAAACUGUGAAAUCUUGUAGUGUGAAACUAUGAAGAAGUUACAAGGAGUUGGUGGGAGGUUGGUGACUUGGUGGCGGAGGUUGGUGGUGGGGACUCUAGUGUACAGUUUAUACUGUAGUAAAUAAUUAAUUAUUAUUUUUAGAGAUUAAUAUUAUUUUAUAAACAAGCUCAAAAUAUUAUAAUAUUUGAAUAAAAAUAGAAAAAAAAUACAUAUUAGAGUAAUUUUUCUCUUGAAAGUAUGUUUUAAGAGUAAUGUUUAUUAUUUUUAAUCAUAAAUAAUUUAGAACCUGAAUUUUUAGGAUUAAUAUCUAAUUUAAAAUUUUUGUUCCCUUAAAUUAUUAUUACAUAACAACUCCAAUAAAAUCUUAAAUUUUAGGAAUAGUGUGACGACCUAGUCUAUGGACAAUAAUAAGAAACACAUGCCAUCAUUUUAUAAAAAUUUUAUAAAAAAGGUGUAAAUGUAGUGUAUAUACAAACACGUGUGAAUGUUGUAUAAAUAUAAAGAGGUUUCAUCACUAAAAAUUUUCUAGUCCAAAACACUUUGGAAUGGCUCCCACCCACUUGGAUUCAUCGUUUAGCGCUCUCCCCACAUUAGCAUCUCCUAGUCGACCCUUAGUAGAAUCUGUAUCAAGCAAGAAUUCUAAAGGUCGCUGCAAGGUUGCCACCGGAGAUGAUGACCAAAUUGUCCGGAGGUCGGCAAAUUACCAAACUUCCAUGUGGGACUAUGAUUUUGUUCAGUCACUGACUAGUAAAUAUAACGUAUAAUUGUUUGUCCUUGUAAUCUCAUGUUAUUUUAGUGUCACGCAACUUGAGUUGAAUACUUGAAUUUGUUGUUGUUUAGGGAGAGCCGUACAUAGCGCGAAGCGAAAAGCUGAAGGCAAACAUAAGGAUGAUGCUGGCGAAUGCAUCGAAACCCUUGGAUCAACUUGAGCUAAUCGAUACCUUGGAAAGACUUGGAUUAUCUUACCAUUACGUUGAUGAAAUAAAGAGCACUUUGAAGAGCUUAUUUGAUGAAAAUCAUAUAGAGAAUACAGAGACAGUGCAUGAUUUGUAUGCUACUGCUCUAGAAUUUCGACUCUUAAGGCAGCGUGGAUAUCAUGUGCCUCAAGGCAAGUCUUUUAAUCAUUGUAGAUAUCGAUGGUUAUAUGCAUUCUCAUGAAUAAUUGUGUUAAGGUUUGUGUUCUCCAUUUGUAGAGGUUUUCAAUCAUUUCAAGGACGAACAAGGAAACUUUAGGGCAUGUAUUCAUGACGAUUUGAAGGGAAUGAUAAACCUGUGUGAACCUUCAUACUUCUUGGUAGAAGGUGAGAACAUAUUAGAAGAUGCAAGAGACUUCACCACCAAAAAUCUUGAAAACUAUGUCAAGAAGUGCAACACUACCGAAUAUCUUUCAGAGUUGGUGAGCCAUGCCUUGGAGCUUCCAUUGGCUUGGAGGAUGCUGAGAUUGGAGGCCCAUUGGUUCAUCAAUUUGUAUGAAACUAAAACUGAUAUGGAACCUGUUUUGUUAGAACUAGCAAAACUAGAUUUCAACAUGGUACAAGCAGUAUACCAAGAAGAUCUGAAAGAUUCAUCUAGGUACGUAUAAUUGAGAAGAUACUUCAUAUUAUUUUAUAAAUUGGAAGCAAAUUGAACUACAAAUAAAAGCUAAUAUUAUUCAAUUAAAUUGUAUGUAACAAUUUAAACUUUUCGAUUUGAUUAUCCUCCAAUGUUAUUAAUUUAAACAAUAUUUAGAUUUGAGGGUUCACUAAUAUUAUAAAAUUUAAUCAAGUUUACUUUAUAUAGCUUCUCUCUCACGGUGACAGUUUAAUUUCUUGACAUGAAAAGGUGGUGGAAGAUGACAGGACUUGGAGAAAAGUUGGAUUUUGUCAGGGACAGGCCAAUGGUGUAUUUCUUAAUUCACUUAUAACAACAGUUGAUGAUGUUUAUGAUGUCCAUGGUACCUUAGAUGAGCUUGAGCUAUUCACAGAUGUCAUUGUAAGGUUUGUGCAGCACCUAAGUCUUGGGCUAUAGGGCACAUUUAUAAUUAAUGCUAUAUUAUUAUUAUUUUUUUUUACUUUUUUAUGUUCAAAUUUCAGAUGGGACGUUAAUUUCAUGGAUCAUCUUCCAGACUAUAUGAAAUUAUGUUUUUUCGUAUUGUUCAAUUUGAUAAACGAAAUUGCUUACGAUAUUCUAAGAGACCAAGGAGUUGACAGCCUCCCUUUCUUGAAGAAAGCGGUAUUUGUUUUUUUUUUCUUUUUUAAUUUUAGUGAUAUUUUUAAAAUAUUUUAUUUUUUUUUCUUUUUUAAUUUUAGUUAUAUUUUUAAAAUAUUUUAUCUCAAUUUUAGCCUUUUUUUUAAAAAAAAAUGGAAUAUAAGAUUAUCUUUGAUGCAAUACAAAGUGAAAAGAUAGAAUUAGAGUUUGUUAAGUUUUAAGGUUACAUCUCCUAACUAUAAUCUAAAAUUAUAGAUGUUUAAUUGUUAGACUAGUUGCUUGGCAUGUCUGAACUAUUUUUUGAGUUUUGUCAUGUCUAUAUGAUCCAUAAGUACAUCUGUCCUAAUUAAGGAUUUAAUUCUUUUCUUCUAAAUUGUUUUGUACUUGUAAAUAUUUAUCAAGCUGAUUUAUUUAUGUGCCAUUCUUAAUUUUCAGUGGGCAGAUUUAAGUAAAUCAUAUUUGUUGGAGGCUAAGUGGUACUACAGUGGAUAUACACCAACGCAUGGAUUUCAAUUGCAACAUCAUUGGCUAUUGUUCAUACAUAUUUUUAUGCUUCGAAUCCAACAACAGAGGAGGCCUCACAUUUCAUGGAGGAAUACCCAGAUAUAAUUCGAUGGUCAUCCAUUAUUUUACGCCUUGCUGAUGAUCUUGGAACCUCCUCGGUAUGCUAGACUUCUCCCACUCCGAGACAUAGUUUCGUCCUUCCUUAUUUAUUUUGGUGGAGAUAAUGGUUAUUUGUUUUUAGUUUUUUAAGAAUAUAAGCUAAUUUUCUAUUUCUCAUUUACAGGAUGAAAUAAAAAGAGGAGAUGUUUCCAAAUCAAUCCAAUGUUACAUGCACGAAACUCAAGCUUCUGAAGAAGAAGCUCGUGAUCAUAUAAAGAAAUUAAUCAGCAAUGCAUGGAAAAAAUUAAAUGCUUCUCAAUUUUCUAAUCCCCAUAUCUCUCAAACUAUCAUUGGUGUUGCAGUCAACCUUCCACGAACGGCACAAUGCAUUUACCAAUAUGGAGAUGGGCAUGCUAUUGAACAUCUUGAGACCAAGGAUCGGGUGAUGUCCUUACUUAUUAAGCCUUUAUAAUUUCAUAAAAAAAGUCAUACAAGGUAAUGUGCAAGUUGGACGCCACGAGGGAAGCAAGCCUAAACUCCAAAUCGCAAGUCUAUGAUGAAAAUUGUUAAAACUCCAACUGAUAAUAAUCUAAAUACUGUAAAGUCUUAAUAAUAUUAGAAUUCUUACGAAUUUUAAAUUUUAUAAAUUUAAAUCCUAAUUAAUAUAGAAAUUCAACAAUCCUGACAUAAUGAUAACAAAUAUGGGUGACUUUAACUCAUGUACUUUGAAUUAAAAUAUCCAUUUGAAAUAUUUAAAUGUACUUUGAGGCUUCACACAGAGGAUACAUAGUAAUGGGAAACUGACUGAAAUGGUAAAUACACUUUCAAAUCUUGCAACAUCAUCAUUGAUUAAAUUAAGUGCCCUAAUAUAUGAAUUCACAUGGUUCUCAUGGCUGUCACUUUGUCACACCUGAACAUCACAAUUACUAUUUUUUUUUUUUAACAAUGAUCGUGAUGCCCGGGUAUGACAAAGUAUCCCUUACCUGCAAGUAAAACCUUUUUUCAACUUAAAAUUUUCAAAUUUUAAACAAAGAAUUCAUCUUUUUAUAGAGUAAAAUUCCUUUUUUUUUUGGAUUAAGCAUAUAGUUUCCAAAACUUUAAUAAUUGUUUAAUAAUUAGUUAAGUUAUAACUAACUCUUUUUUUUAUAUAUAAAGCAAUCAUUUUAAAAUCUAAUUAAUAAGACAGUUGGUUCUUACUGAAUAUUUCACUGCAGGAAUUCGAGUCAUACAGUCGACAAGUAGAAGUGUUGAAGGAAAAUGUGAAGGACAUGCUGACGGCAUCCAAAAAGGAUACAGUGGAACAUAUUGAAUUCAUUAAUCAGUUAUGUCGGCUUGGUGUGUCAUAUCAUUUUGACGAUGAGAUUGAAAACAGCCUUAAAGAGAUUUUUGAUGAUAUUCCUGAUCUUCCAAAAAGGAUACACUGUAUCACUUCUAUUUCGAGUAUUGAGACAGCAUGGAUUCAAAAUGCCUUGUGGUGAGCGCAUACUUCCAGUACUUUAUAACCUUUCAAACCUUAAUUAACAUCUCCAAAAUUAAUUCUUUGACACUAUGAGAGCAUUAAUUAAUUCCAGAGGAAAAAUUAAAUCUUAACAUCUCAAAAAUUAAUUCUUGGACAGUACUUUAAACUCUGCUAAAUCUUUCUUUCAUUGACAAGAAGUAAUCUAUGGUCAAAUUAAGAUUAUUAAAAAAAUGACUAGAACAGUAAAAUUAUUCUUUCAUGAAUCAGUUGUGUUUGACAAGUUCAAGGACACCAAUGGAGAGUUUAAGAAAACAAUCAUCAACGAUGUUAAAGGCAUCCAGGGCUUGUAUGAAGCUUCAUUUUUAAGUGUGCAUGGAGAACAGGUACUGGAUGAAGCCCUUGUGUCACGGGGUUAAAUUUUCCGCAAUGAAAUUCAACCCAAUGCGGCAGUCUAGUCCCAACUAGACUAAGCCUUGCCUCACCCUUUCGCUCGUGUUUCCUACGACUAUGUGUUUCGCUCACCAAGAGAGGUUCUCACAGUAACUUCGUCGUCAACAAGGAAACCAACACAAGCAAGCACACCGAGGAUACAAGAAUCCCUCUCAACCUUUAUUUAUCUCAUCAACAAAGGAUUACACAACAAGAGUGUGUGUGCUAUGCACAUAAAUCGCAUGCUCCACAACAGAGGCUUGGCAGCCUAUUUAUAGACAGAUAUGAGCUGCAGGCUCCCCCCCAUUAUCCCCCAUUUUCGGGACCUAGUGGAGCACUUCCUCUAACCCAUGAUCCCAUGUUUUCAGGACAUAGUGGAGCACUACCUCUCACCCAUGAUCCCAUGUUUCCAGGACUUAGUGGCAUGGAGAGCACCCCAGUUAUGCUCCCACGUUUUGCCUCCCAUGAAGCUGCCACUUCCCCAUUUCCUGGCUGUCUACUUGGCAGCCCCCACUGCCAGAUUCUGCUGCGUCAGCUGCUGACUUAGAAGGUCCAUUAUCUAAGCCCCACGUCCAUGCCAAGUCGCCAGCUCAAAGACUUGCACAGACCCUUGCACGCUGCCUGCCGAAUUCGUUUCUGCCGCAGUCCAUCGCUGCCGAAUUCUAGGCAAUGUGCCUUCGUUGGCGCGCCCCGCGCCUAGACCUCUAACAAACCACCCCCACUAGAAGAGUCUGACGUCCUCGUCGGAAUAGACGUGAGGUAGUCUUGUAUUUGGUCUUCAAAUUGCCAUAAAUCUGUAUCCUUUUCCCACGAAACCUCCUCAUUUUUCUUCCAUUUUAUCAAGAAUUCUGUCCGCCGAUUCUUUCGAUGUUGGCCGAGUCUACGAUGAUCCAUAAUCUUGACAAUACUAUCGUCAAAUUGUUUAUGAAUCGUAGGAGGAGCUCGUUGCGACUUACUUCUUUUCGGAUCCUCGUGAUCUUCAUAGAAAGGCCGCAAGUAACUUACGUGAAAAGUAGGAUGAACUUCAACCGUUCGGGCAGCUUCAAUCUGUAUGCGACAGCACCUACCUUUUCAAUGAUCUCAAAAGGUCCGUCAUACCUUGGCACCAACCCUCGGUGCUUCGUCGUCCCCACAAUUUUCUUCCAAAUUUGCGGAGUUAACUUGAGUAACACCUUGUCACCCACACUGAAUUCCAGCAAUCUUCGCUUUUGAUUGGCAUAUUUGAGCAUCCUUUUCCUUGCCUUGCGCAAGCUAUCUUGCGCUUGCUCAAAUAGCUCCUGCCGCUCCAUCGCAAACUUGUAUGCUGCUGGACUCUUCCCACCCGAUAUCUGCACUGCAAUCUCCGCAGGAGUUUGGGGUUGGGCUCCCAAAACCAGCUCAAACGGACUUGCUUCCGUUGCCGAGGAUUUUUGAAGAUUAUAGCAAAACUGCGCACUAUCCAGCAACUCCAGCCAGUUUCGCUGCGUCGCUGUCACGUAGUGUCUCAAAUAUUCCUCCAACAAAGCAUUUAUCCUUUCCGUCUGCCCAUCAGUUUGCGGGUGAUUGGCAGUGGAAAACUUCAGCCUUGUUCCCAUCAUGUUGAACAAUGCUGUCCAGAAUCUGCCCGUGAAUCGCACAUCACGAUCACUUACAAUGUCAGAAGGUACUCCAAAGUACUUCACCACGUUGCGGUAGAAUAAUUAUGCGGCCACUUCGGCUGUACACACCGUCGGGGCAGCAACAAACACCGCAUACUUAGUGAAUCUGUCCACAACAACCAUGAUUGUGUUCAUGCCAUCCACCUUUGGAAAACCAACAAUGAAAUCCAUUGAGACCGACACCCAAGGCCUUUCUGGAAUCGGCAGCGGCUGUAACAAGCCUGCCUCACGCUGCCGUAAAGUCUUGUCUUGUUGGCAUACUAGACAAGUCCUGACAUAGAGUUCUACGUCCUCCUCCAUCUUCGGCCAAUAAUAAGUCUGUGACAGGAGAGCAACCAUCCUUUCUCUACCUGGAUGUCCAGCCCAUUGCGGAUCAUGAGUCUCCAUCAAUAAAUGUUUCCGCAGCUCUCCCUUUGGCACGAAGAUUCGACCCCCCUUUGCAUAGAGUAGGUCUUGUUCCAGCCAAUACCUCCGUAUUGUCCCUUCUUGUACAAGCUCAACCAGUUUCUUGUACGCUGCGUCUUCCCCCGCAGCUUGACGAAGUCGACACAGCAUGUCCGACUCCACCUGAACAAUAGCAAGAACAGUAGCAAUUACCUCGCGUCUGCUAAGUGCAUCCGCAACCUGAUUGUGGCUUCCCGGUUUGUGCUUCCAUACAAAAUCAUAUUCGGCCAAGAAUUCCUGCCACCGAGCUUGUCGCUACGACAAUUUCUUCUGCGUCCAGAAGAAUGUGUUGGCAACAUUGUCAGUCUUGACAACGAAUUUCGGCCCCAACAGAUAUACUCUCCAUAUGCCAAGGCAGUGCACUACUGCCGUCAUUUCUUUCUCAUGCGUUGAGUAAUUCUGUUCCGCGUCAUUUAGCUUCCGACUCUCGAAAGCAACCGGAUGUCCCUCUUGUACCAGCACCCCACCAAUAGCCCUAUCUGAAGCAUCAGUAUGCACUUCAAAAGGCUUCUCAAAAUCAGGCAGCCCCAAGACUGGAGCUGACGCUACCGCUGUCUUCAGCUUCUCAAAAGCUUGCUGGCAGUCAACCGUCCAUUCCCAUCUCCGACUCUUCUUGAGAAGAUCCGAGAGAGGAGUUGUCUUCUUGCUAUAACCCUCAAUGAAUCGUCUGUAGUAGUUUGCAAGCCCCAAAAAUGACCUCAAUUCCGGGACUGAUUUUGGUGCUGACCAUUCAACGAUGGCUUGAAUCUUCCGUGGAUCCAUCUUCACCUGUCCUUCUCCAAUCAAGUGGCCUAAGAACAUAAUUUCAGCUUUUGCAAACUCACACUUUUCUCUCUUUACAUACAAUUCAUAUUCUCUCAAUCUACUUAGGACUUUAGAGAGAUGAGUUACAUGAUCUUCAAUGCCUCUACUAUAGAUUACAAUGUCAUCUAAGUAGACUACCACAAAAUUGUCUAAGAAAUCAUAUAACACGUCAUUCAUUAGAUUACAAAAUGUUGCUGGAGCAUUUGUUAGGCCAAAUGGCAUAACUAGAAACUCAUAGGAGCCAUACCUUGUCACACAAGUAGUUUUAUGCUCAUCACCGUCAGCAACCCGCACUUGCCAAUACCCCGAUCGCAAGUCCAAUUUCGUAAAGAUUGAGGCUCCACACAAUCUGUCCAUCAAAUCCUGAAUUAAAGGAACAGGAUAUUUGUUUUUGAUUGUUACCUUGUUUAGCGCUCGGUAGUCCACACACAUGCGAAGGCUUCCAUCCGCCUUCUUUUGAAACAAAACCGGAGCACCAUACGGAGCCUUGGAAGGCCGGACAAACCCUGAGUCAAUCAGCUCUUCCAAUUGUUUCCUCAAUUCUGCCAAUUCCCUUGGCGACAUUCGAUAAGGGGCUUGAGAUGGUGGCUUUGCCCCUGGCACCAGCUCAAUUCGAUGGUCGAUGGCCCUCCUGGGCGGGAGUUUCUUUGGUAGCUGAGGCGGCAUCACGUCUUCGAAUUGCUGCAGCACGCUAGCAAUUUCUUUCGGCACCUCACCACAAUAGUCGGCCUUCUCGUCAACUAUUGUCGCCAGAAACACUUCCCCUCCUUUCCGCAAUGCUUUAUCAAUAGCAAUUGCCGAGACCAAGCUUUUUCCCCCUUUCACAACAUUCGCAGCUGCGACAUUACAGCUGUUGCUACCCAAUUUUUGACCCAUGUUUUGAUAAAUUUUCAGAAAAAUCCAAAAACAACGAAAAACAUUGAAAAUCCAAAAAAUACAUUUUUAAUACAUUUGCAUCAUUUUUAGCAUUUUUCAGCGUCGUCUAAAAAGAAUUUAAAUUUUCCAAGGUCUUUCGAAUGCGUUCAAUUUUUAACGCGUUAAUUUUAAAAUCAUUGAUUUUUCUUAUUGAGUCGACGUUGAUAUUGCUCGCUUUCAAAAAUACAAAAAAAUAAAAAAAAUCAAAAUUUACAAAAAAAAGAGGAAAAGAGAAGGAAAGGAAAAGUUGAGGGACUAGUUUGAAAACAUAGCAAAACUUUUCCUAUAAAUAUCAUGCUACACUGAAUUUUUAAGGGGGGGGGCAAUUUGGCAAUUAAAGGGGGCAACAAAAAGAGAAACCCUAAAAAGCUUAUUAGUUUUUCUUCUCCCUCACCCGGAGCCGCCACCCCCCAUCCGGAUCAGAUUUUUAUCUUCUUCUCCCUCACAAGGCUGCCCCCUCCCUUGGCCAAAAAGAAGGAGAACCAAAGCCACAGGGACUUCCCUUCUGCCUCUCUCCAUCUCACUAUCUUCUCCCUCAACCGGCCCCUCAGCCCCCACACACCCAUCUCCUUCUCACAGCAGCCGACCACCACAUCCGAAGACCAGCCUCUUCCUCUUCCCCCACAAACCAGCCACCCCAAGACUCGACACCGCCUGACCUUCCCUUCUCCUCCGGCCGUUGCUCUCCCUCUCAGCCAAGACAGACCGAGCAGCCCCCCCACAAACCAAGCCACCGCAGCUCUCCUUUUCCUUCCUUCUCCCACAGCAGCCGUCGCCUGGCCAGCCCCCAUCCCCCGUUUUGGAUUUUUUCUCUUCUCCCUCAACCGGACAGCCGAUCUUCCCGACCCUCACAAAUCAGCCUCACCGAACCCCACUGACCAGACGAUUUUUCCUCCUCCCUUGCCCUCUGCCAAACACAAACCAGGCCACACCCUUUUUCUCCUUCACCGCAGCUUCAACAGCCCCAGCUCGCCAAGAUCGAGCCGGCCGCCCCCUCACCAGACCUUUGCUCCCCCAACCUUUUCCCUUUGGCUGCUCCUUCUCCCUUAAACCAGCCACUCGAAGAUCCCACUCAAUCGUCCCUCUCCACCGCCAGAAGUCCUCUGCCUGCCUCAACGUCGGCCACAGGAGAAAGAGAGGAGAAAUGAGCCGAAGCUUGAGGUGGUCUCUUCACCUUGCUUAAUCCUCUGCCUGCCUCACCGCCAGCCGAAAGAAGAAAGAAGGGUCGGCGAUCUACCCGAUCCAGUGGGUAACCGACCGCACGAGUCGCCGGUGAGCCACUCAACACUCCCCAACAGAUCUGCUAGCCGAGGAAGAAGGAGAGAGAAGCAGAUCUAAACAGAUCUAAGGAGAGAAUCGACUGUGUUGUUGCGUUUUUGUGUGUUUUGCAGGUGAAGGUGAUCUUCACCGCCGACGAGGAAAAGAAGAGGGGAAGAAGUCGAUCCAGACCCCUGCUGCUUUUUUGUUUCUUGCGGCGGCGCGUGAACCCACGCGCCGCCAGUGACGGUGGCGCGUGGAGAAGACGCGCCACCAUGAGUUCUGGCAGUUCCAGAGGGUCCUCAAUGCAAUUUCGGGAGUUUUAGGGACUGUUUUUGUAAAUUUUAAAUUAUGUAAUGUAAUUUUUGUUUAGUGUUGAAUUUUUUUAAUUUGUAAUGUGGAUGUAACAAAAAAAAAGAAAGAAAAAGAAAAGAAAAGAAAAAAUAUAGUGAAAGUGUAUGUGUGUUUGUAUUUUUUUUAUGUAUGUUAUUGAGAUAAAAAAUGAAUUUAAUAUUUUAAUUUAUAUGCUCAAAUAUCUAAAGGACAGAUAAAAAUCAUGUAUUUUCCAUAAAAAUGUAGAACAUGUAUCUACAUAUAUUUUGGGAACUAAUAACUGAUUUAUCGAAGCCUUAGAAUUGGGCUAAAAUUUUUAUUUUUAAAAACACAUCAAGUCCACGAAGCAGCUUACCUCAGGUAGGGUGCGUUAGGGGUGCUAAUACCUUCCCUAACCACAACCAGUCCCUUACCUAUGAAUCUCUGACAAGAUCAGUACAUUCGGUUUCCUAGUAGCCCGCAAUCAAUUACUAGGUGGCGACUCCAACGAACCAAUCAAAUCAAAUCAAACAUAACAAAUGAAAAAAUCGCCAGCCGAUGCCGCGCUGAUUUUUUGACGUGCGACAGAAUGGCGACUCCACUGGGGAAGGUAUUGUUUUCAACACUAUUGGACUAAGCUUUGUGUUUUUGAUGCGUUUAUGUUUUUACAAUUUUGUCCUAUUUUAUUUUUUGUUUUAUCCAUGCAUUGUAUAGAAUUGUCUCAUGCAUCACAUGUUUUAAUUUUUUAAAGCACACACAAGCUUCAGGUUAGGAGGGGGACUAGCAGCUUACCUUAUGACUUUUAGUCAAGGUUUAAGUUUGUGUAAACCCCAACUCUUCGUUGAGUGCUUAGACUGGUAAUAGUUGGACAUGUGCCAUCUCAUUGCCUACAAGCCCCCAUAUUGCCUCCACGAGGGCAAUCACUGGGACAACAAGAGACCCUUUUUAGAGACCAAGUAGUAAACCUACCUUUUGUCUCACUUAAAAAGAUUAGAACCUGCCUUUAUGAUAUGUGCUCCGUAUAUAUUGUUUUGCAUCAAGGCAAACCCUUCUUGAAGCAUCUUGAACUCAAGACUUUUGGGUGACCCAAUGGCCGUCACUCAGGAAAUUUUCAUUGUAGAGUUUGGGCAAGAAUCAAGAUUCUUGUUUCAUCAUACAAGAGUUACGACCAUAUGUCACCCCUCGAAAGGCGAGUUCUUCAUAUAGUUUACAUGUUCAUACAUCUAUCAUGCAUGUACCGGGAGGAAAAAUAGGUUCCCCUGUCCGAGGUUUACUACACUGGAUGGAAAAGGAUGGAUAAUAAAGAAAAGGGUCAGAGAGAAGCACAAAAUCAAAGGAAAGUUGAGAGCAUCAAAGGUGAAGUAGCUAGGCUCAGAUCUGCCUGAACAAGUGUUGAGCAUCAAAUGGAAAGAGAAUGUCUGCACAAUCUUCUGUGGAAACACUGCUUGUCCACGUCCAAGUGAAGCUGCACCUCUCCAUUUCAGUCCUGAACAACAAUAGCAAUGCCUUCAGUCAUCAGCUAAUGACAACUUUUGUUUUUGGUCAGCUGCCCUGUUAAUUGUUCAUCGCCUCCACAUCUUUCAAUGGUACCAAAUAACUGCUAGCCUUCUGUGCAUGGUGUAUUAGCCUUCUUUGACGUUAUCCCAACUGUUAGUUCAAUUCCAGUUCAGCAGCACAAGAUGUAAAAAAAAAAAAAAAACAAAAAAAAAACCUCGAAAAAAAAAAAAAAAAAAAAAACUGAAAAAAAACCAUGAUUAGACACUGAACUUCUACGUUGCAGAGCUCUCUCUGUAGAGAUUCGUUUGUGGCUCUGCAAGUGGGGAAUGCAAGAGGGAAUGUAGUAUUUUCAUAUGCUACAAAACUUUGCCCCAUCAAUUUCAGAACCGAAACACUGGAGUAGGCAGAAGGGUCACACCUGGUCUGAAAACAUGAGCCGUCAUUAAACUUCAACGCGGCAGAGCUCUCUCUACAAAAAUCUGUUUGUGGCUCUGCAAGUGGGGAAUGCAAGAGGGGAUGCAGUACUUUCAUAUGCUACAAAACUUUGGCUCAUCAGUUUCAGCACUGAAACACUGGAGUAGGCCGAAGAGUCAGACCUAGUCUGAAAACAUGAGCAGUCGUCGAACUUUGACGUGGCAGAGCUCUCUCUACAAAAACCUGUUUAUGGCUCUGCAAGUGGGGAAUUCAAGAGGGGAUGUAGUAGUUCUAGACAAUGUGAAAAGUUACCCCACCAGCUUCAGCAUCGAAACACUGUAGUAGGCAGAAAAGCCAGACUUGAGCUAGAAAACAGGAGCAAAUAUAGAACUUCACCGUGGCAGAGCUCUCUCUGCAGAAACCUGUUUGUAGAUCUGCAAGUGGAGAAUCCAAGAAGGGAUGCAGUAGUUUCUGAUCAUCUAUAAUUUUCUCUCAUCGGUGUUAGCUUGAAAAUGCAAAAGAAGGGAAAAGAGACGGCUGAAAAAUAGAAAGAAGAUUGAAACUUCAACAGAGCAGAGCUCCCUCUACAGGUGUCUGUUUGCUGCACCAUCAGUGAGGAAUCAAAGAGCAGACAAAGGAGUUUUAGAUUCAUCAAGUUCUCUUCCAGUUUUGACAAUGUGUGAUUCCACACGUCGGCAGUGGCAAUGCUGCAAGUCUCCGGGUGCUGCCAAGAUUACCUAGCUACUGGAAGGUUUCCAACAAUCCACAAACGACCACAACAACAUUGAAAGAAUGACAUGAUGUUGUGAAGAUCAUCGAAAGAAUUAAGCUAGCUAUGAAGAUGAGAAGGAUUGAAGGUUCUGUCAAGAAUUCCAGAACAAUGAUGAGAGAUGAAUCAGGAGAUGACUCUGAAGAUGAGAAACCAUAGUUACUUGGUUUAGUCAAGUCUCACUGUAGCACCAGCUACUCAAGUGUCUUUGCCAAGAUUGACAUCUUUCUGCCACCCAAGUUGGACUACUAGCAUCUGUCAGAUUCCAGACUUUUUGCCUGACUCUGUUAAAUCCCAUGCAACCACUGUUUCUUAUGUGAUAUAAUCCAAACAGGAGAUUUGAAUAUCAUGGGGGGAUUUCAGGCCAUUCAGUUGAAUAAUUGCAAGAAUCGAGUCCGCAAAUUGGUGAGCAAAAGACGAGAGGAAUCUGUGAAGGAGCUUGUCAUUGAUCAUUUUGUCGCCAGAACAUCCUCAGAAUGACGAGUGAUCGAAAUUGCUCGGUAAACACAGAUAUUGCCAGAAUAGUUGAUCCAAGAAGGGCGUUGAACUGUCAAUCAUGUUGUUAUGGAAUUUUUGCCAUUCUGCAUUUUGUUUUGGGGUCACAUCUCAUCCUUGAACGAAACAUGUCUUUUCUUUGUCUUUUUGUUGUUUUGAAAUCAAGAGAUGCUUCUUUCAAAGGGUAUUUUGACAAAAAUAUUUUUUUGAUCAAACUCCAACAUACAAAAUUAAAGCUAGUCAAUCCUGAAGAUUAAAAGUGUUUUGAUUGCGGAAAUGACUUUAUGCUUGAAAAUGACAUGAGGUGACCAAACAAUUUUGAACUCAUAUCUCCUGAAACUGAACAACACAUCAUAUAACUAAGUUUUAGCAGUAUGCAUAAUGACAUGUAGUGGAUUCGGUAGUUAUGGACUCGUGAAUCAUGACUCUUACAAGUCCAAAUCAUUACACUGGAUGAGGUCAAAAUUUAUCGAUUCUAACCGACCUUGCUUGAAAUGAGAAAAGGCCAUCUUUGUUAUCCUUUCACAUUUCUUGAAAUAUUAUCCCUUGCAGUCCCAUUUUGAGCCUGGUAAAAUAUUUUCUUUCAAGAAAACCCUGACUAGGAUCACACCCUACACCGGGGCAAAUGAGAGAUAUUUUGAAGACACUGAUAGGAUUGAUGAAUAAAAGAAAAGACUUAGAACAAAAGCCCAAUGAUUGAGAAAGGGCUAGAACAAAAAAGUCAUAGAGUGAAGGGCAUCCAAGAAAACUUUGAGAAAGGCUAUGUAAAAGUAAAAAAAAAAAGUGGAAAUGAAGGAGAAUGCCUAUCAAUUCUAAGAGGGGCAAAAGAGGUUUCAAUGGAAGAAAGACACAACAAAUGCCAAAAGUCAACACCAAAAAAAUCAAGUUUCAUGUCUUUUGGUGUGUCUAGGAUAAAGCCUUUAGUGUCUUCAAAAAAAUUUUAGAUUCAUUAUUCAUCAGAGAAAAAGUUGGAUUAGCAUUAUGACCUAUGUUAAGAGAAUUCUGAUCUUUGAGAUUAACAGGGUUAUAUGUCACUUUCUCCACAACGACAACGAGAAAGAGAGUUGAUGAAUAGUUGAUGUUGAUCCUAGGUCGUUGAAACCCUCAAACACCUUUUGAGCCUGUGAAUUUCCCUUCUUUCAUAAGCCAUGAACCAUAGCCUGUAUUACGUGCUUUUAAAAGCCCUUUUUAAUCAAGUAAGCAAUCUGAACCGAUAAAUGGCGCUUCAAAACUUGAAGAGCUUUUCCAUAAGAGUCAUAGCUUCAUGGAUUAAGCUACUGGUUAUUAUGCAUGCUGACAAAAUUGGUAAAAAAAAAAAACAAUCUUUCUUGAUGAAUCCUCAAGUUUUGACUUGAGUCUUUUGUUUUUUGAAAUUCACAUAAAGGUCACCUCAUCACAAACCAUCAAAAGAUAUACCCCAAAAUCAAAGUCUAAAAUGGAUACAAAGAACCAUGAAAAAAGUCAUUUUAAACUUACAAUGGGUCAUUUCUGUUUUCAAAAUACAAGACAAUCAAAGGACUAUAUUGAAUAGUGUGUGUUGGGUCUUUGACAAAAAAGCUUGAUUUUCAAAAGAUCUUUUCCAAAACUGAUAUCUCUUUGAUUUCAUUUCAACAAUUAGACUUGAAUUGACAUGAUCUUUGAAAUAUGAGAUUUGAUUCCAGAACAAGAAAGAUUGUCGAACAAUGAAGAACAUCGAGUGAGUCUGCGAAAUAUUUGACAUGAAAUGACAUCAACUCUUCUCAAUACUCCUUGAAAAAUUGAGACACCUGGAGGCAAUACAAUGGAUCAUGGGUAUGAAAACAAACAGUAUUCAGAUCAACUAGGGGCAAUGAAAGAUGAUCAAAUGAUGAAUCAAUGCACUGAGGACAACGGUGUUUAAAGAAAUGCUAAUCAGCAGAACAAGCAUUCAGAUCAUUAUUGGGGGCAAUGUUGUUCAAAAACAUUCCAUGAUCUAGUGAACUCUAGCAGCAAUUGAAAACAACACUGCAAUUAAGGGACAACCUCGUAUCUUCAUCUUGGGGUUACCCUUUGAAACAUGGCUAUGAAAAAUGUUAUCGCAUCGUUGCAUUGGAAUGAAUGUCAGAAAGAUGCACACCACCAAGAUUGACUGUGGGACCAUCUAUUCUGAAGCUCAAAUGUGCACUUCACCGUAUGAAUAUGGGUGAUAACAUGAACAUCAUUGAUGAUGUCGAGACAUUUCUUUCCACUAUCUGAUUUGACGAGCUGAGAGGAAUCCAUGAGAAAGAACAUUGAGCAUACAACGAUGAGUCUUUCACUGCAAGCUAUGAGAUGCAUGUCUGGACGACUGGAUGAUUUCCAUGAAGACUGAUGAUAACAUAUACUUGAAGAGUAUUGUUUCAACUUGAGGAAAGUUUAUGACUGAUUAACAAUCUUGAUGGGUGUUGGCAUGAUGCACACAACCAAUCGAAAGAUAAUUUUCAGAAGAAUCUAGGAGAGAAAAUCCUGCAUGAUGAAUCAAGCAACACCGCACUUGGGGGCAGAGUCAAGCUUGAUAAACCACAAGAGCAGUAACCGUCGAAGACAGCCCAGGAUGUGCACUGCACUUACAACUGAGUGGAUGGCUAGCACAUGAAUGAGCCAAUGCAUCGAAAGAACCAAUAAAGCUUUGGAAUGCAAACAAAGGCACCCUGUGAUGAUGGAACAUCGAAGAGGGGGGACCUAUAUUUCGAAUCAGGUAAGGAGGCAUGCAUGUCAGCUAACGUUAAAACAUUGUACAUAUUUUUUAUUUUGUUGCAGGAAAAAUCCUCAAUGUAGUUUAGCAAGAUUGGGGACCAAAAAAAAAGAGAAAAAAAAAAGAAGAAUCAUUGAGCUGAUAAUAACAGAGAAUCAUGGUUAUGACCUUGGAACGGGAAGAAGAUGAGAUAAGCCUUACUGUUAGGAAAAUCUCAAAGAAAUGAAAAGAUCAACCUUGCAAUCAGGAAGCAUCGAUUUUUCAAACCCUGCGAUCAAGAAUUAUCAAGAAGCACCAAGUUUUCCGGCCCUUCUUCUAUCAUCCCUUCAGGACUUCGCCAGGUAAGUCCCAUUUUUCACACUUGUCACAUCACAUCUUUCAUUUGGGUAGGUCACCCAUAACAAUGAGACCAUUUCACAUUUUUUCUAUCCUCCACAUGGGUAGGUCACCCAUAAUAAUGAGACCGCUUCAUAUUUUUCUCAUCUUCCAUCUGGGUAGGUCACCCAUUACAAUGAGACUGCUUCAUAUUUUUUCUAUCCUCCACCUGGGUAGGUCACCCAUAACAAUGACACCACUUCACAUUUUUUCUAUCUUCCAUCUGGGUAGGUCACCCAUUAUAAUGAGACCGCACUUCACAUUCUUUCCGUUUGGGUAGGUCACCCAUCAUAAUGAGACCGUUUUCCACAUUAUUUUUCUUGGGUAGGUCACCCAUACAAUGAGACCAUCAUUUUUCUUGGGUUCGUCACCCAUACAAUGAGACCAUCAUUUUUCUUGGGUUCGUCACCCAUACAAUGAGACCAUCAUUUUUUCUUGGGUUAGUCACCCAUACAAUGAGACCAUCAUUUUUCUUGGGUUCGUCACCCAUACAAUGAGACCAUCAUUUUUCUUGUGUUCGUCACCCAUACAAUGAGACCAUCAUUUUUCUUGGGUUCGUCACCCAUACAAUGAGACCAUCAUUUUUCUUAGGUUCGUCACCCAUUACAAUGAGACCAUUUGUUCCACAUUCUUUGUUUUGGUUUAAUGAGGUCGCCAGAUGGGAUCUCAUGUAGCUUUGGUUAAAGGGAAUCGCCAGAUGGGAUUUCAGGUUAACCGAGUUACGUAACAUCUUUUAGUUUUGGUUUAAUGAGGUCGCCAGAUGGGAUAUCAUGUAGCUUUGGUUAAAGGGAAUCGCCAGAUGGGAUUUCAGGUUGACCGAGCUACCACACAUUUUUUAGUUCCAGUUGAAUGAGGUUGCCAGAUGGAAUCUCAUGUAGCUUUGGUUAAAGGGAAUCGCCAGAUGGGAUUUCAGGUUGACCGAGCUAUCACACAUUUUUUUAAGUUCAAGUUGAAUGAGGUCACCAGAUGGGAUCUCAUGUAGCUUUGGUUAAAGGGAAUCGCCAGAUGGGAUUUCAGGUUGACCGAGCUACACACAUUUUUUAGUUCCAGUUGAAUGAGGUUGCCAGAUGGAAUCUCAUGUAGCUUUGGUUAAAGGGAAUCGCCAGAUGGGAUUUCAUGUUGACCGAGCUACCACACAUUUUUUUAAGUUCCAGUUGAAUGAGGUCGCCAGAUGGGAUCUCAUGUAGCUUUGGUUAAAGGGAAUCGCCAGAUGGGAUUUCAGGUUGACCGAGCUACCACAUUUUUUAGUUCCAAUUUAAUGAGGUCGCCAGAUGGGAUCUCAUGUAGCUUUGGUUAAAGGGAAUCGCCAGAUGGGAUUUCAGGUUGACCGAGCUACCACAUUUUUUAGUUCCAAUUUAAUGAGGUCGCCAGAUGGGAUCUCAUGUAGCUUUGGUUAAAGGGAAUCGCCAGAUGGGAUUUCAGGUUGACCGAGCUACACACAUUUUUUUAGUUCUGGUUAAAGGGGAUCGCCAGACGGGAUCUCAGGUUAGCCCAACCACACAGAUUUUUGUUUUUGGUUCAAGGAGAUCGCCUGAUGGGAUCUCAGGUUAAAAAAAAAAAAAAAAAAAAGGGGAAAGAAAAUGAAAAAGAGAUAAAGAAGGAAAGGAGAAGGAAAAAAGAAAGAAACAUUUAGAGUUUUUCUUUACAAAGCUUACUAUGCGAAACAUUGAGGAGUUUUGCUUCGUAAGCAUUGUAAAGAGGGGGCAUCUGUUGCUACCCAAUUUUUGACCCAUGUUUUGAUAAAUUUUCAGAAAAAUCCAAAAACAACGAAAAACAUUGAAAAUCCAAAAAAUACAUUUUUAAUACAUUUGCAUCAUUUUUAGCAUUUUUCAGCGUCGUCUAAAAAGAAUUUAAAUUUUCCAAGGUCUUUCGAACGCGUUCAAUUUUUAACGCGUUAAUUUUAAAAUCAUUGAUUUUCCUUAUUGAGUCGACGUUGAUAUUGCUCGCUUUCAAAAAUACAAAAAAAUAAGAAAAAUCAAAAUUUACAAAAAAAAGAGGAAAAGAGAAGGAAAGGAAAAGUUGAGGGACUAGUUUGAAAACAUAGCAAAACGUUUCCUAUAAAUAUCAUGCUACACUGAAUUUUUAAGGGGGGGCAAUUUGGCAAUUAAAGGGGGCAACAAAAAGAGAAACCCUAAAAAGCUUAUUAGUUUUUCUUCUCCCUCACCCGGAGCCGCCACCCCCCAUCCGGAUCAGAUUUUUAUCUUCUUCUCCCUCACAAGGCUGCCCCCUCCCUUGGCCAAAAAGAAGGAGAACCAAAGCCACAGGGACUUCCCUUCUGCCUCUCUCCAUCUCACUGUCUUCUCCCUCAACCGGCCCCUCAGCCCCCACACACCCAUCUCCUUCUCACAGCAGCCGACCACCACAUCCGAAGACCAGCCUCUUCCUCUUCCCCCACAAACCAGCCACCCUAAGACUCGACACCGCCUGACCUUCCCUUCUCCUCCGGCCGUUGCUCUCCCUCUCAGCCAAGACAGACCGAGCAGCCCCCCCCACAAACCAAGCCACCACAGCUCUCCUUGUCCUUCCUUCUCCCACAGCAGCCGUCGCCUGGCCAUCCCCCAUCCCCCGUUUUGGAUUUUUUCUCUUCUCCCUCAACCGGACAGCCGAUCUUCCCGACCCUCACAAAUCAGCCUCACCGAACCCCACUGACCAGACGAUUUUUCCUCCUCCCUUGCCCUCUGCCAAACACAAACCAGGCCACACCCUUUUUCUCCUUCACCGCAGCUUCAACAGCCCCAGCUCGCCAAGAUCGAGCCGGCCGCCCCCUCACCAGACCUUUGCUCCCCCAACCUUUUCCCUUUGGCUGCUCCUUCUCCCUUAAACCAGCCACUCGAAGAUCCCACUCAAUCGUCCCUCUCCACCGCCAGAAGUCCUCUGCCUGCCUCAACGUCGGCCACAGGAGAAAGAGAGGAGAAAUGAGCCGAAGCUUGAGGUGGUCUCUUCACCUUGCUUAAUCCUCUGCCUGCCUCACCGCCAGCCGAAAGAAGAAAGAAGGGUCGGCGAUCUACCCGAUCCAGUGGGUAACCGACCGCACGAGUCGCCGGUGAGCCACUCAACACUCCCCAACAGAUCUGCUAGCCGAGGAAGAAGGAGAGAGAAGCAGAUCUAAACAGAUCUAAGGAGAGAAUCGACUGUGUUGUUGCGUUUUUGUGUGUUUUGCAGGUGACGGUGAUCUUCACCGCCGGCGAGGAAAAGAAGAGGGGAAGAAGUCGAUCCAGACCCCCUGCUGCUUUUUUGUUUCUUGCGGCGGCGCGUGAACCCACGCGCCGCCAGUGACGGUGGCGCGUGGAGAAGACGCGCCACCAUGAGUUCUGGCAGUUCCAGAGGGUCCUCAAUGCAAUUUCGGGAGUUUUAGGGACUGUUUUUGUAAAUUUUAAAUUAUGUAAUGUAAUUUUUGUUUAGUGUUGAAUUUUUUUAAUUUGUAAUGUGGAUGUAACAAAAAAAAAGAAAGAAAAAGAAAAGAAAAGAAAAAAUAUAGUGAAAGUGUAUGUGUGUUUGUAUUUUUUUUAUGUAUGUUAUUGAGAUAAAAAAUGAAUUUAAUAUUUUAAUUUAUAUGCUCAAAUAUCUAAAGGACAGAUAAAAAUCAUGUUGUAUUUUCCAUAAAAAUGUAGAACAUGUAUCUACAUAUAUUUUGGGAACUAAUAACUGAUUUAUCGAAGCCUUAGAAUUGGGCUAAAAUUUUUAUUUUUAAAAACACAUCAAGUCCACGAAGCAGCUUACCUCAGGUAGGGUGCGUUAGGGGUGCUAAUACCUUCCCUAACCACAACCAGUCCCUUACCCAUGAAUCUCUGACAAGAUCAGUACAUCCGGUUUCCUAGUAGCCCGCAAUCAAUUACUUGGUGGCGAUUCCAACGAACCAAUCAAAUCAAAUCAAACAUAACAAAUGAAAAAAUCGCCAGCCGAUGCCGCGCUGAUUUUUUGACGUGCGACAACAGCAUGGGACAAAACAAGGGCAUCCCUCACUCGCAAUCAUCAUUCCAUUGAGAUAUGACAUCAAAACAACCUUGGCUUUUCGUAAGAAAUCAAGGCCAAGAAUAAUAUCGUAAUCAUCAAGACUUACGACCAGCACAUCCUGCUUGCCUCUCCACUGAUCCAGCGUUAUCGGCACAUCAUAAGACAUCCCAGCAAUCCUCUGUGCCUUCGAGUUUACUGCCUUCAUUGAUGUGUGGCUGUCACUCAGCCGCAGGCCAAGUUCUUUCACCAGCCGAUCUGCCACAAACGUGUGGGUUGCGCCUGAAUCCAGCAUAGCAUUCACGUCUUUGCCAUUUAUCCCAAUCUUCACAUACAUUAGAUUGUCCGUAGCCCCUGACUUCCCUUUCCGCAGUGCAUCAAUCCUCGCCAAGUCUUUAUCGACAGGGCGGGUUUCGGCAGCCCCAUCCUCUGAUUUAGCUACCAGGCAGUUUAUCACACGUAUAGGAUUGACGUGCGUAACUACCCCUUCCCCCUCAUUGCUAUCCCCAGCCCGAAUAGCAUUCAACUUCUCCCUCUUCGGACAUUCCCUCGCAAAGUGAGGACCAUCACAAAUGAAGCAAGUAAAGUUCGGUUUAGUACUCUUACCUUGUGCACCCAUAAACUUGGCCUUGCCCUUCUCCGCAGCAGUAGCCCUCGAUGCACCCCCACCGAACUUCUUCCUCGUUCUUUCCUCCUUGUUUCUUCCCUUAGACUUGAAGGAGGUUGAUGUAUAGCCCUCUCUUGUAGUUGAUUUAAAAUCAAUCAAGCUGUCCGCAGCGGCAAUAGCGGAGGACAGAUCCUUUACGUUCUGUCGCCUUAGUUCCGCUUGCGCCCAAGUUUGCAAUCCGGACAUGAAGUUGAACAACCUGUCCUUCUCGGACAUAUUCUCAAUGUCGAGAAUCAAGGAACUGAAAGCUUUAACAUACUCAUGAAUUGACCUAUCAUGUUUGAGCCUUUUCAAUUCCUCCCGCGCUAUCCAAGAUGUGUUGUUCGGAAGGAACUGCUCCUUUAGCUCCUUCUUGAGACAAUCCCAUGUCUCAAUCUUUGGACGUCCAGCACUUAAGUCCUCUUUAGUUCUCGUCCGCCACCAAAGUUUUGCAUCACCCGUGAGAUACAUCACGGUAAGAUCCACUUGUUCAGCCACGCCGAUCUUCGCAACGCUAAAGUAUUGCUCCAUAUCCCACAAGAAAUUCUCAAGCUCUUUGGAACUUCUUGCCCCACCAAAACACAUUGGUUCAGGCACUUUAGGUUUAGAAGUACUUACCCCAAUAGGAGCGCUUGUCACUGCCUUCUUCAGAAUGGCCAUUGUCUCUUCGAUAGUAGCCAAUCGUUCACUCGAUUCUGCCGCAAGAGAAAUGUACAAGCUCUCAGCCCUUUCAGCGCUUUCCACAGCUUCCUUCAAGCAAUCAACAAUAGAACGUUCUUCGUCUUCUUCCUCCGACCCUAUCAAGGUCUCAAGACGCGUCAACCGUUCCCAAAUAGCUUCCAUGCCUUUCGCUGCACGUUUUUAGAAUCAACCGUGCUCUGAUACCAAUUGUCACGGGGUUAAAUUUUCCGCAAUGAAAUUCAACCCAAUGCGGCAGUCUAGUCCCAACUAGACUAAGCCUUGCCUCACCCUUUCGCUCGUGUUUCCUACGACUAUGUGUUUCGCUCACCAAGAGAGGUUCUCACAGUAACUUCGUCGUCAACAAGGAAACCAACACAAGCAAGCACACCGAGGAUACAAGAAUCCCUCUCAACCUUUAUUUAUCUCAUCAACAAAGGAUUACACAACAAGAGUGUGUGUGCUAUGCACAUAAAUCGCAUGCUCCACAACAGAGGCUUGGCAGCCUAUUUAUAGACAGAUAUGAGCUGCAGGCUCCCCCCCAUUAUCCCCCAUUUUCGGGACCUAGUGGAGCACUUCCUCUAACCCAUGAUCCCAUGUUUUCAGGACAUAGUGGAGCACUACCUCUCACCCAUGAUCCCAUGUUUCCAGGACUUAGUGGCAUGGAGAGCACCCCAGUUAUGCUCCCACGUUUUGCCUCCCAUGAAGCUGCCACUUCCCCAUUUCCUGGCUGUCUACUUGGCAGCCCCCACUGCCAGAUUCUGCUGCGUCAGCUGCUGACUUAGAAGGUCCAUUAUCUAAGCCCCACGUCCAUGCCAAGUCGCCAGCUCAAAGACUUGCACAGACCCUUGCACGCUGCCUGCCGAAUUCGUUUCUGCCGCAGUCCAUCGCUGCCGAAUUCUAGGCAAUGUGCCUUCGUUGGCGCGCCCCGCGCCUAGACCUCUAACACCUUGUUUUCACAAAGGCAAACCUGGAGUCUUCGGCUAUGCAAUCAAGCCCACAUCUAGCAGACCAUAUUAGGAAUGCUUUGAUCCGGCCCUUUCACAAAGGCGUACCAAGAAUAGAGGCUAGAAAAUACAUUUUAGGCUAUUUGAAUUUAUUUACUCGGUUGCUAUUUACAUUUUAGGUGGUGGAAUGAUUUAAAUUUUUCUGAGGAGUUUCCAUAUGCAAGAGAUAGAAUUAUAGAGAUCUAUUUCUGGGCAAAAGCAAUCCAUUUCGAGCCUCAAUAUGCUUUCUCGCGGAUGGUGGUCACGAAAUAUACAAAAUUUGUAUCACUUGUAGAUGAUAAAUAAGAUGCAUAUGCAUCUUUUGAAGAAAUACAACAUUUUACUAAUGCAACUGCAAGGUUUGUUUCUUGUUAUCUCAUAUAUAUAUAUAUAUAUAUAUAUAUAUAUAUACAUUUUUUAUGAAUACCGAAGAAUUAUAUUAAGCUGGUCAUCGAAAUUCAGGGAGACAAAGAAAAGAUAAUAUAAUAGCUAUGGUAGAAUAACAAGUUAUAAGUACUAAUUACUCCAAUCUGCUAUACACUCCAUAUUUCUUAACAAAUUCAUAUCAGUAUAUCAAAGAAUCAUCUCAACCCAAUAACUUAAGCUAUUAGGUAAAAUUAUUCUCUAACAUACUCCCUUAAGUAAAAGUCAUUUAGGCUUGAAAACUUGCAUAGACUCACAUUACCUUGUGCUUGACUUUUAUCAAAUAAAUGGGGAUGGUGAGAUUCGAACUCAUGAUCACUUGGUCAUCAAGGCUCUGAUACCAUGUCAAAGAACCAUCUCAAUCCAAUAACAUAAACUAUUAAGUAAAGUUUCAAGAUAUGAUUUAUAUUAUUUUCAAAUACAGUAUAAAAAAAACUUGAAUUAUAAGAAUGAAUCCAAGAUACAGAAUUGUGGAAAAACAAUUCUCAAUCCAGUAUACUUACAUCAAAUAUGAAUUUGUCCCUAUAUGCUAGAAAAUCUAAAUUAUUCCAUAGAAUAGUCCUUGCCAAACUUGUUGCUUAAAGUUUUCUUUAAUCAAUCUUUGCCAUUGAUGAAACAAAUCGUCCAAGGUAAGAGGUAUGCGUCAUGAAACACCUCAACAACUAACUAUUUUAUUCCAAAAUUUUCAAGACACCAAACAACGAAAAAGGAUGUAAGUUGUAGUUUCUGACUCAGAAAUACAAAGUCGACAUAUAUCUGCAUACAUCAUUAUAACUUUUCUUGUAAUAAAAAAGAAGCGAGUGCAUAACCUGUUAUAAAUAGCUAACCAAAGAAUAAACUCAGUUUAUGAAGGGGAAACACCCUUCCAAAUAUCAAUACUGUAUGUCUUUAAAUCCCGGUAAAUGUGUCUAAAAAACAUCAUUAAAGUAUCUUUACUCAAUAAUAAGCCGGACUUUAAGUUCUUUUUUAAUGUCAGAACAUGAAGUUAGAUGAGAAAUUUUUCGAAAUUCAUCUUUAGUAUAACCUUCUCAAAGCCAAUACCUUAGAGGUUGAUGGAAUUCUUAUAUACAAAUAUUUAUUAUCUACUUCUUCGUAAGUGAAAAACAUCAUUUUCUCUACGCUUACAAGUCUUGUUGUGCUCUAUUUUUGCAAUAAUUAACUUGGUAUCUAAUCUUGUUGCAAAUGAAUCAUUUUCCAUGAAAUGUUUUAGCAUUUCCCUUCGUUUGACUGCAAAAUUUUUCUUUUAUUUAUUAAUAUGUGUCUUCUCUUGUUCAACAAUAUUGAGUUUAGGAGCCAAACUAGAAGACCUGACUCUUCUUUUAGACAAUUUAUCUUUCCCUUCUAAUAUCAAUCUCAAAAUGAGAUAGAAUUGUAGAGAUCUAUUUCUGGGCAAAUGCAAUCCAUUUCGAGCCUCAAUAUGCUUUCUUUCCGAUGGUGGUCACGAAAUAUACAAAAAUUGUAACACUGGUAGAUGAUACAUAUGAUGCAUAUGCAUCUUUUGAAGAAAUACAACAUUUUAGUAAUGCAAUUGAAAGGUUUGUUUCUUGUUACCUCAUAGUCUCUUUUUUAUGAAUAUCAAAGAAUUAUAUUAAGCUGGCCAUCUAGUGGAUGAAAAUCUAGCAAAACAAAGAAAUUAUACAAUAAUAGUUAUUGUAGCAUAACACGUUAUAGGUACUAAUUACUCCAAUCUGCUACACCCUCCAAUCUGCUGUUUUCCUUCUGGAGAGAAAAAGGGCAAUUACUUGUCCAUGUUUCUGAAAUUCCUUCUUCAAAUCUCUAUAGGUCAGCUAUGUGAUCGUUCAAAGUAGAAUUUGAGAGCCAUUUCUGGGUUAUGAGUCGUUGUGUGAUGGUAUUGGAAAGGAUUAGAGAGGGAUAUGGGUGGGUUCUUUUGAAUGCUUUAGAUAGUAGGCUGUAGAUAGUAGGCUUUAAAAAGAAGAAGACGAAGAAGAGCUGGAAUUUUAAAGAUGGUUCUAAGCUUUUGUAAAGGUUGUGAUGGCUAAGAUUACAGGAUAAUAACAGAAGCUGGUUGAGGUUUGAGCGGUUUGUGGGUAGGACGUUGGCAGGUAGGAAGAAAUAAAAAAAGAAAAGUUUUGAUUCUCUAAUGGUCAUUUAGUCGAACACAUGUGAAGAAUUUUCUGCAGAAGAAAAGUUGAAUAAUGCAGAAGUAGAGAAAGAAGAAGAGAAUGAAUUUCUUUGUGAGAAAGAAGAAGAAUUACACGUUUUAGAAAAUCUGCAAUCUGCAUGCGGCAUUUACUUCUCUUUAUUUUUCUUACUUUUCUCAUAGUACAUGAAUACAUAUAUAUACACAUAUCCUAACUAACUUCGUUUAACUAACUUAACAGUUAUAACUAACUUUUAACUAACUUAACAAUUUAUAUGAGAAAUGACAGAAUGGCCAAUCUGCUUAGUCUUCUGUGGAUGUUGAGUUUUCUGUAUGCGUGGCUUUCUCUACAAUCUUGGAAGGUUUCAUAUGUUCCUUAUGUGUAUUGAUAGUUUGCUCUAGAUUCCAAUAUGGUAUUCCAAUAACAUGGAGGGUGUGUCGAAAGAAUGGAAGAGGAGAGACUGGGUUACCUUUUAUGAAGAACAAAAACACUAGAUAUGGACAUCCACUGUGAUUUUUAAGUUACCUCAUAGCCUUUCUCUUCUAAAUCGUACAAAGAUGUUCAAGAAAUGAUAUGUGAUUUUCUGUCUCAAUUUCAGAUGCUGCAUGGAUGCCAUCGAUCAACUACCCGCCGAGUACUUGAAAGUUCUUUUCAGAGCUCUUCUGAAUCUUUUCAGUGAAACUGACAGAGAUAUGGGAGAGCAAGGACGAUCCUAUGCGUCAUAUUACUUGAAGGAGGCAGCAAGAAUAUUUCUCCAGCUCAUGCAUUCUUUUUCUAUUUUUAGCAAAAUACAUUCUUUUUUAUUUGUAUGCUAUUAGUUCAAAGAAUUGGCGAGAGGCUACCAAGUGGAGGCGCAGUGGGCAGAUGAAGGCCAUGUCCCACCAUUUGACAUGGUGGGCCAUGAGGUAUGAUAGUUAAAUCCCUAAAAAAUAAAUAAAUUAUUAGAUAUAUUGAUAAUUGAAUUCGCAUUUACCAUAUAAAUAUAGAACUAUUACGAAAAGUAUUCACAAAUUCUAUCUUUCAGUUAACUCGUAUAGUUCAACAAUAUUAACGAUAAACUUAAACAGGCGGUUAUUUUACUAUACAUUAUCUUACAAAACAUUAUUUAUUUUAAUAAUAUUUUUUAAAAUCUAUAUAUAUAUAUAUAUUUUAAUUUCAUAUUUUAAUAUAUAGUUUAUUAGAGAUUGAAUUUCAUUGAACACUAUUUAUUUCAAUAGAGUUUGACGGGUUAACUCUAAUUUUUUAUUUUAGGUUUUUUUUUCUAAUUAGAAUCUUUUUUUGAUGAAGCCUAAUUCCUAUCACGAGUCUCGGACAAGAAAGCAAUGGAAGAGAUACAAAAGAUGGUCGUAAAUGGAUGGAAGGACAUCAAUGAAGAUUGCGUGAGGCCACCUAAUGCUUCAAUGCUUCUCCUUCGACAUAUUGUUAACCUUGCUCGAGUUACCGAUGUUAUGUAUGGGGAUGACGCCGACGCCUACACAAUCCCAUUAAGUUUAAAAGAUUAUGUAGUCACUUUAUUAUAUGACAGCAGUUAUACACUCCUCUAACAUGCAUUACAUGAUUUAUUCUGUUGCUAACGAACUCUAACAACUUCUUAACACGUGUAUCAAUGUCUACUGCCAGCUAGCAUUUGAACCGUCACUGAAACUGUGACAAUGAAGCUGUAACAAUACUCCCUCCUUAAAUGCAUUCUGAUCCACAAGAACGCUCAUUUAUUCCAGCCAUGAGCUGCGUAUUGUACUCUGGAAAUGGCUUUUGAAGUUCUUCAAGAUCCUCCCUAAGAAAUUGCAUCUUCUGGAAAGAGAUUGGACCACUGAGUCAAACCUACUAUCACUGCCCAGUUGCCUUUCCUCGUCAAUUUCCUACCCAGCACAGCUACAAGAACGAUUUGCAUUCUUCCUUCUUUAUCUCACACCGGCAAUCUAGAAGAUAUUACUGCUUCGUCUCCAAUCUUCUUUUCAAGUAAGGAUGCACUAAGCUUCCCUCCGGUAACCUUAACUCAUAAGCCACGUUCCCAAUCUUUUCACUAAUUUGGUAAUUAAGGACCAUAAUACCUGGGGUUAAGCUUAAGAUUCUUCCCCAAUGCAAUACUGUUUUGUCUAUAAGGUUGAAGCAGGAAAACCCAAUCACUCUUUGAGAAUUCCCUUUCAGUUCUGUUUCUGUCUGCCAUUUGCUUCAUCUUGUGCCUCUACUACAACUACUGGGGUAGGUUCUUGAGUAAUCCAUUCUCUCUAGGGAGGAGCAUAGCCAUAAAGAGCUUGAAAAUGACUCAUUCUCAAGGCUAGGUGAUGACUGGAAUUAUACCAUCACUAUGCAAAAGAUAACCAAUGAUACCAUCACUAUGGAUGAUGCAUAGUUAUAUAUGGAAGAUAUGUUUCUAAGCACUGGUUCACCCUUUCAAAUUGACCAUCCGUUUGUGGGUGAUAGGCCGUCCUCAUCAUCAAUCAAACCCCUAACUUUUUGAACAAUUCCUUCCAAAAUAUACCGUUGAAGACCUUGUCCCUAUCCGUGACAAUAGUUGCAGGCAACCAUGGAACUUGUAAAAGUGAUAUAAGAACAACUGUGCAAUAUCUUGUGCUAUGAAGGGAUGAGCUAGUGCAAUGAAAUGCCCAUAUUUAGUGAGCCUACCAACCACCACCAUAAUAGCAUUUCUUCAUUCUGACCUUGGUAAUCCUUACAUAGCAUGACAUUUUCGUUAGCCACAAUCACUGCUAACUAUGUGGUUUUACCAGUAAGAAUAUUCAACUUCUUAAUCAUACUUUCAUCAAUAAAACUAUGCAUACUACCACUAUCUAUUAGGAUUACAUGGUCUCUUCCCUGACAAUCUCCUUUAAUCCUGAUAGUAUUGUAGGUGCCACUAUCAGCUAGGGAAUUUAAUGACAGCUCAAAUUCAUUAUCUUGUUAAUCUCUUUAUCUCCAUCUUGCAUUGUUUCUUCUAGUUCCAUCAUACCUUCGUUCUCUUCUUCCUCUAUUCCCUCUAUCAUGUGUAAGCCUUUAGCAUUGCAUCUGUGCCCCGACAUAUACUUAUCACCACACUUAAAGCACUGUCUAAGUCUUUUUCUUUGUUCGAACAAACUAUCUGGAAUUGGCUUCACACCUUGAGUCCUGGAUUGACUAAAAGUUUUGGCUGGAACAUUACUUGUUAUUCUCCCACUGUUGAAUGGAGUGUUGAUUCGUUGUAGCGAUUUGGUCUUCCUGGUUAAUGCAUUGUUAGAUUCUUCUUGCCAUCUGGCCUGUUCAAAUGCCAUUAACACAUUUAAUAAUUUCAAGAUCUUCAACAUUGGCUUGAUACAUUCUUCAGCCCACUAAUAAAGCUAGAGACACAGUAUGACUCUGGUAAUGAUAGAUUAAGAGCAGUCAUCAAUGAUUUCAAUUCUUCAAACCUUUCUACAUAAUCAUCCACGCUUCUGUCUUGUACUAGUUUGUUGAAUUCCUCAACAAUGUCAUCUCUACUACCAAACCUUCUGCAAAUAGACUAAGAAAAUUCUUCCCAACUAAUCAAUGACUCAUUCCCUCUUAUUAGCCCCUCAAACCAAACAUCUGCCCUUCCUUCCAGAUAAUAUGAGACCAAUUCUACCCACCGAUGUACAAGUACCGAAUUGAUCUUGAAAUAUUUUCUAUAUUUCCUCAACCAUCCGCGAGGAUCCCCCCUCCCUCGUGAAAAUUGGCAGUUCUACUCUAGGUAGUGGUAUGUUAUAUCUUGUCCUACUUUGUUCUUAUCCUAUCACCUGAUCUCCUUUAUACUGAUUCUUGUUUCCUAGUGAUAUUCCUCCAUACAAGGUAUUCAUCCCUGCUUCUCUACCAAUUCUAGUGUAGCCAGAACACCUUUUGAAUUAGCUCCAGUCUCCUUUCUCGCUAUUUGAUCAGCGAAGAAAUUUUGGAACUGUGAGAACAACGAUUCCAUCUGUAUAACCAACUGAUUAAUCUUCUUACCUUGCUCCAGCCAACGUUCUUUACUUUCUUCCAUAGAUUUUUUUUCCAUUUUAAGUGAUGGUUUUGUAGCUGAUUAUCAAACUUUUUGCAGUGUUCUUCAACUACCUUCAGUUUAUUAUUCUCCACCAUGGUUUAGUUGUUGGGUUGUUGCCAUUGCAUGUGCACCCAUCCAAGAUGUCAAAGGUUGGCAGCCACCAUUGUUGAAUGAGCUGGAGUUUGGCAGCCACAAAUGUUGACAACAAAGCAAGAACAGCUGCCAUGAAAUGCCUAUAAAUAGAGACAUUAUGAGAGAGCAAAAUGUGAGAGAGAACGUGAGUGCAGUAGAGAGAUCAAGAGAGAAAGAGAGGCUGCAAUGGCAGCAGCCUUGCUGCUAUUGCAGCAGCUGCAAGUGCAGCAAAGAUAAGUUGAUGAGUUGAGUAGAGUGGAUGUAAUCCUCCUCCUCUACAUGUAUGUAUUGUAACCCUUUCUCUAUCUCUAAUACAAUGACUCUCUCCCGUGGACGUAGGCGGUUUUGCCGAACCACGUUAAAUAUUGUGUGUCAGUGUGCUUUACCCUCCGUUUGAGCAAUUAUCAGUACAUCCCCGGUCGGAAAUUCCCAACAAUUGGUAUCAGAGCACAUGGUUUAAAGGGGUGUUUGAUUUUGCUCAAAAAUGAAAGUUGUCAAAAUUGUGUUUUGACCAUACCACUGUGUAGAGGAGGAAGAGACGAAGCCACUGUUGAAAACCGCGUCGAAAUCGGACGUCGGAAACGUCCACACGCGCCGUCACGCGCCGUCAGGGUGGCUGGCCACGCGCACAGACGCGCGCCACGCGUCACACGCGUCUUCCUCACCCGAAUGACCUGACCCGACCCGAAUACCAGACGACCCGACCCACGCGACAGACCCGGAAAAGGAUGACGUCAUCAUGACGUCAUGAUGACGCUAGUAUACCCAGUCAGCAUGCCACGUAAGCGUCCAGUCAGCAUGCCACGUAAGCGUCCAGUCAGCAGACACGUCGGCAUACGGGUCCCACCUGUCACGUCACCAGACGCAAGCCGAGCGGAGCCGAGCCGAGUUAAGCCGAGCUGUUUCUGAGCCGAGCCGAGCCGCUAGCCGAGGGAUAAGAUUCUGUGCAGCGGAGUCUACAUGCAACCGGUUCUGAGAUUGAAUCUGGGCUGUUGAUCUGGCCAGAAUUGUUUUGAUCAAAUCUUAGCCGUCUGAAGUGCGAUUUGGACGAUUUCAGACUUGUUUCCAGCUAAUUUGAUCGUUCCGGAUGCAAUGGUAUGGUCCGAUCGUUGAGAUUUGAGACCAAAAAUGACGGUGGUAAAUUAACAAAAGAGAUUGCCCGAUCAGGAGGCAUUUGAAGGUCAUCAUGGUGGUCGAUGGAGAUGAAGAGGAAGAACGUGCACAUGUUUACCCAAUUACAUGUGCUGAACUGCUAAGUGGGGAGAAUUUUAACUGCCUUGAAGGAAGGCAAAAUUGGGACACUCUAGACACCCGAUCAAGUGGACAAUUUGAGGUGAAGAGUGGAAAUUGACGAAGAUCAAUCUUAACGAAUCUAAGAACUGGUAGUCUCGCCAGAUGUUGAGAAAUCAUGUAUUAAACCAGUAUAUUCCAGAUCACUUGUAAAGGAAAGCCGCGACAAAGCUAGCAAAUGGUUGUAUAUACGGAAAGACAGUACGAUGGAUAGAUAUGGCCUAAGAAGUUCUGUCUAGGAGGUUGGGUUUUAAGCGGGACCAGUGUGACCCCUCCAAUCUUUCCUGGGAACUUGCUUAGUGGAAGGAUUAUCCAUACGGUACUAUUUUCGUAUAUAUAGCAGUUUGUAAUGAAACGGUUGAAGACUAGCAGGAUGACGGCACAAGGGAACAGUUGGGUUCCGUAUGAUCAAGGAUCUGAUGAAGUGGUGAUUUCUCCAAAGAAGUUAGAUUCGGUGACUGUGAUUUCUCGAAGGGAGAAUUGAUGAAGACCCUGAUAAUGGAAGAGAAAUACAGCAAGGGGAUAAAGAUUGGCACCCUAUUUUGACUUGGACAGGUGUUGUGACAGGAUGAGCUGCUGUCAAACAUAAGCAAGGAAUAGGGAGAAAUCUGGAGAACAGAAAUUGCACGAGGGCACACGGAGAUUGUGCAGGAGUACCCGUAGGAUCCAAUGAGGUAUUGUAAUGAGACAACAGGUGCAAGGAGAAGAAGUGUUUUCAGAUGAAGCUCAGAGCAGAGACUGUUAAAGUUUGUACAACAGGAAGUCUCUUGUGCUCUUGAUGAAGACAACAGGCGAAGACCUUUCAAAUGCAUGCAAGGAUGGAAAGAGAGCUGUUGUAGAGGCACCUAAUUGAGGGGGUGUAAACGCCUGUGAUAAAAGGCGACCGCCUAUGAUGAAAGGCGAAGACACCAAAGAGAGUUGGUGUAGGUGGAGCUGUCAAGCAGAAAAGCGUAGAAGCUCCAAACAUAGAAAUCGAGGUGGAGGAUUGCGAGGAGUAUACCGCAAGUUUCUCUUUCUAUGUAAUCAGUGGCAGUUAUCUCUCCCAUAAUGCACAUGGCGGUAGAGAAUUUUGGAGCCACUUUGAAGCAUCUCAGCUGAAGGAGGAUGCGACCGCCCCAUGACAACGGGCGAAGACACCUUAGAUGGAAGGUGUGUAAGGGCCAUGAUAUGAGCCCAAGAUUAGACCGCCGCAUAACGACGAGCGGAGACACCUAAGGAGAAGGUGUGUGGGCCACGAUAGGAGCCCAAGUUCAGAACAACCCCAGAGCCAAUGUGAUGGCUGGAUAUGAGUGGACAGAUGGAUAGCCAAUGAAGUGGCUAUGAUGAGUAUGAAGACAAAUGCAGGAUUGACUUUCAUGGAUAUUGCCCCCAUGCUAAAGAUCAAUGAGCUAGAAGACAUUUGCCUUGGACAAUAAGUGGAUGACUUGUGGAGCAUUAAGACGCGGCUGCUAUGAAGAAGCAGAAGGGCAUGCGCAGGUUCCGAGAACGAGUUGACUCUUGUCAAGGUGGUGAGCUCGGUAAUGGCAUUGUAAUACUCAGAGUAUGAAGACAGAUAUGGAUCAACCUUUAAUGGGCUGCCCCCAUGGUUAAAGGUGGAGAGCUACCUGGACUCUUACGACUAAGAGCGAGAGACUCACGGAGAAGUAAGGCGUGGUUCCUAGGAUGGAACAGAGGGCAGACGCAACUCCUGGAUGAGUAGACUCUUGGAAGAGUGGUGAGCUCGUGAUCAUAUUGAGAUACUCAGAUAAUGACUGUCGCACUUGGGAAUAUUCCGUUUGAGGGGGUGUUGUAAGCCUUGGUGUAAGGCUUGAUGAUUCAUUCCGGACCGAGCAUGGUUGAUACGCUCGAAGGGGAAUGUUGUGUCCCAGAGACAAGCGUUAACACUCUUCAGAUGUGAUGUGGCAGACCAUCUGGUUGUAGUGAUCCUUUUGUGUGAGAAAAGGUGUGCUUUGGUGACUCUGGUGAUUGAAAGGUUUGGCGAGUACCUGUAAACUUGGCCACAAAUACUCUCAGAAUGGUAAGCUUGAAAGAGCUGCAGAAUGCAAGCUUGUGCUGAAGAAGCAAGAGGACAGUUGCCCCACAUGAAUGGCAAAGGGGGUGAUUGUUGGGUUGUUGCCAUUGCAUGUGCACCCAUCCAAGAUGUCAAAGGUUGGCAGCCACCAUUGUUGAAUGAGCUGGAGUUUGGCAGCCACAAAUGUUGACAACAAAGCAAGAACAGCUGCCAUGAAAUGCCUAUAAAUAGAGACAUUAUGAGAGAGCAAAAUGUGAGAGAGAACGUGAGUGCAGUAGAGAGAUCAAGAGAGAAAGAGAGGCUGCAAUGGCAGCAGCCUUGCUGCUAUUGCAGCAGCUGCAAGUGCAGCAAAGAUAAGUUGAUGAGUUGAGUAGAGUGGAUGUAAUCCUCCUCCUCUACAUGUAUGUAUUGUAACCCUUUCUCUAUCUCUAAUACAAUGACUCUCUCCCGUGGACGUAGGCGGUUUUGCCGAACCACGUUAAAUAUUGUGUGUCAGUGUGCUUUACCCUCCGUUUGAGCAAUUAUCAGUACAUCCCCGGUCGGAAAUUCCCAACAUUAGUGAAUUGCACGGCCAAUUGUUAACGUAGUGCAGGCUCUGAUACCAAUUGUUAAGCUUGGCUUAACAAGUAAGCAGAAGAGAAGGAUAACAGGGGAAAGAGGAGAAUGAGACGGAGAAAUGAAAGAAGAAAUGGUUUUGUGUAUUCUUGCGUGCCUUUAUGUAAUCCUGACAGCGGUUAUAUACUCCUCUAACAUGCAUGACACGAUUUAUUUUGUUGCUAACUAACUCUAACAACUUCUUAGCACGUGUAUCAAUGCCUACUGCCAGCUAGCAUUUGAACCAUCACUGAAACUUCAACAAUGAAGUUGUAACAUCAACAUUUAUGGUACUGUAAUAAAUUUGUUUGUUUCAUGCCGGAAGAACAAAAGGAAUUGGCAUUUUGGUUUUGUCACAUUGACAAUCCUUUGUGAUUCGGAAUCUCUGCUGCACAAUUUGAAUGGAAUAUGGUUUGGUGAAUACAAACUAAGAGCUAAUCUAGCACGCCAUGAUUCUACUCCAAGGGUUAUACCAAAGAUUUUUAAGUCAGUGACACCCAAACCAGUGACAAUUAAGGAGAUGGGCACCAGAAGUUAUGCCAUGGUUGUAAGUAGUCCAGCUUGCAGUAAUGAUGAUCGGCCAAUAUUGGGCAGCUGUAACUUGCCAAUUAGCCAUACCAAUUCUAUCAACAUGGAUGUUUCUCCAAAAGCAACAUUGGAACAAUAUGUAACGCCUGUUUUAUUGGAUAAGGUGGGUGACGAAGACAUGUCUUGGCUGAAGUGUAGUCUCAUUGGUGCAAUCUCUGAAGGUUUUAAUUUUUGAUCCAUCAGGCAGUCCCUCAUUGAUGAUGGAAUACAAUUCAAUGGCUUUUGUUUCUUGGGGGCUACUCAGGUUCUCAUCGUUUUCAAAUCAGAGAGUGAUAUGAUGGAUGCCUUUUAUGAAGAAUACCAAUUAUGGACAACCUAUUUUGAUGAAUUACGCCCUUGGCUGCCCACAUAUUGCCCCAUUGACAGGUUUCCUUGGAAAAGAAUGGACGGGUUGCCGCUGCUAUGAUGGAAUAUGGCCUGUUUGAAGAGACUGAUUGUAGACUUUGGGAAGAUAGUGGGUUUCAUAGAAAAAGUUAAUGCCUUUGUCAUUUUGACAGAAUAAGGUUGUUAAUUGCAACUAAGCUAGCUCCGAAAAUUGAGAAGGACCUUGAUCUCAAAUUAGAUGACAAGGUACACCAUUUACAUGUGGAGGAAAUAAUUUGUGAACAGCCCCCUGACCUUGAGUAUAUUAAUUUCAAUUUGAACUCCUUCAGACCAUGGAUUGAGGAUGUGGAUGAUUCUGAAUUUUUGAAACAGGAUGUAGAGGUAGACAUAGUUGCUGAAUCAGUUCUAGAAUCUAGACCACACGAUGAUACCUGUGGUGAGCAAUCAGAUGGGUGUUCAGAUGAUUUUAUUGUCUUUAUAAACAGAGACGAUUCAAAUGAACAAUGUUGUGAUGCUGAAUUAAUGUUUCCAGAAAUUACAGGAGAUGUGAGAGUGGCAGUGGAACAUGAUUUUGCUAUAGAAGGGGAGUUGGAUGUGGACAAUCAAGAACAAUCAGUAGAGCCGGCGGUGGGUGCUGAAAAUUGUCAACAUGAGCCUGAACAUACAUCAGUGGAGCAUCCUAUAGUUACCCGAAGUAAAUACCGUAAGACCAAAUUUGUGGCUGACAUAGGAACUGUUUCAGAUACAUUGGGUGAAUAUGGAACUGUUUAAGACAUAUUGGGGCUGGAAACCUAUUCAGUUUCUCAAUAGUUGGUUUUCUCAUCCUAAUUUUAUGAAGGACUUUGAGAAUUAUUGGGGUGCUAGUUGCAGAGAUUUUCCAGGGGAUUUCAGAUUGAUUAUGAAGCUUGCUGUUAUGGGUAAAAGUUUUUGUGUCUGGAACAAAACAGUGUUUGGAAAUCAGAAUCUCAAGCUUCUUGGAGUUGAGCAAGAACUCAGGUCUCUUGAAAAGUUAGGUGAUAACUGGCCUCCUUUUGAGUCCGAAAAAGAAAGGAUUAAGUUUAUUUCUUCAGAGCGUUGGGAUAUCAGUGUUAGAAUCUAUGAGAAUUUGCCUUUAUUUGAUAGCUGUUAGACUUGGUAUUUGGUUUUAUCUUCAUAACAGAUUCUGUUACGAAUUUUGCUAUUAUUCUGCUAUUAGUAGUAGUCCAAUAAUCUCUCAUGUUUGUUAAGAAUUUAUAGCAUUUUGAAUUUGGUUGUAAGCCUUUAAAUAGGCAGUCUUAAUUUAUAACAAUUAUUAUCAUUCAGCUUCAACUUUCUCUCUAUUAGAAUUCUCUGCAAUUGUUAUCUACUUAUACUGCAGAUUCCAAUAGUAUUUAAUAUACUGCAGAUUUCAACAGUGGUAUCAGAGCUAAUAUCCUACGGGCUGUGGGGCAAGUUUUUUGAGUGCUAAACACGGUGAGGUUGAGUGCUAAACACAGAGAGGGUGAGUGUAAACACUAGUGAUUUACUUUGUCUACUGAUUCUAUGUCUACUUCAAGCAACUCUGCAUCUGCAAUUCCAGUGUUCAGUGGUGAACACUAUCACAUUUGGGCUGUCAAGAUGAGAUUUUAUCUAAGAUCUCAAAGCUUGUGGAAUGUUGUAGUGUCUGAUUCUGAUCCACCACCAUUGACAGCAAACCCCACAAUUGCUCAGAUGAAGGCACAUGAAGAAGAAAAACUCAAGAAGGACAAAGCCAUCACCUGUCUACAUUCUGGACUUGCAGAUCACAUCUUUACCAAAAUUAUGGACUUGGAAACACCAAAACAGGUAUGGGACAAGCUUCAAGGUGAAUUUGAGGGUAGUAGCAGAGUUAAAACUGUUAGACUUCUUGCAUUGAAAAGGGAGUUUGAGUUGAUGAAAAUGAAAGAUAAUGAAUCUGUCAAAGAUUAUUCUGGCAAAUUAAUGGAUGUUGUAAACCAAAUGAGGCUUCUUGGCAAGGCUUUUACAGACCAUAAGGUGGUAGAGAAAAUCAUGGUUUCAGUACCACAGAAGUUUGAAGCCAAAAUUUCUGCAAUAGAAGAGUCUUGUGAUCUGAACAAUCUCAUUAUUGCAGAAUUAACAAGCAAACUUCAUAUACAAGAGCAAAGAGUCCAAAUGAGAGAUGAAGAGGCUAUUGAAGGAGCUUUCCAAGCAAACACCAAGGAAAGGGGUUCUAGAAACUUGCAACGAAAGAAGCCUUUCAAGUUUACCAAGGGAAAAACUGAAAUGUCUUCAAGAAAGCAAAAUUACUCAUCUUGCUCUCAUUGCAAAAGAACCAACCAUGCUGAGAAGGAUUGUUGGUAUAAAGACAAACCUUCUUUCAAAUGCACAUUCUGCAAUAAUCUCGGUCACAGUGAGAAAUAUUGCAGAGCAAAGAAGAAACAAUCUCAACAACAUAUUCACUAGCAAGCAAAUGUUUCAGAAGAAGAAAAAGAGGACACUGAGCACUUGUUUAUGGCAUCACAAGUUAUUAGUUCUCAUGAACAGAAUAUUUGGCUCAUUGAUAGUGGCUGCACUAGUUACAUGACCAAACAUCUAGCAAUGUUUUCUUCCAUUGAUAAAUCAAUUCAACCAAAAGUCAAGCUGGGAAAUGGUGAUGUUGUGCAGGCUAAAGGAAGAGGAACGAUUGCUGUCAGCACCAAAAGAGGUACAAAGAUUAUAAAUAAUGUUCUUUACAUUCCUGAACUAGAUCAAAAUCUGCUUAGUGUUGCACAAAUGCUAAGGAAUGGUUAUGCAGUCUCCUUUAAAGAAAGGUUUUGUUUUAUCACUGAUACACAUGGAUUAGAGAUAGCAAAACUCAAAAUGGAUGGUAAUAGCUUCUAUUUGAAGCUUGAUGCAGUUGAAGGGCAUGUCUUUUAUGCUAAGGUUGAUGAGAGUAUUAUGUGGCACAAAAGAUAUGGUCAUUUCAACUUAAAGUCUUUAAAGUUUAUGCAUGAUGCUGGUAUGGUAGAUGAUAUGCCUGAAAUCCAUAUUAGUGACCAAACUUGUGAUAGCUGUGAACUUGGGAAGCAACAUCGACAACCAUUUCCUCAAAGUAUAUCAAAAAGAGCCACUCACAAGCUAGAAUUAGUCCAUUCAGACAUUUGUGGACCAAUGAGCACAGCUUCAUUAAGCAAUAAUCUAUAUUUUAUUCUCUUCAUUGAUGAUUUCAGCAGAAUGACUUUGGUUUAUUUUCUGAAAACCAAGUCACAAGCACUUUCUAUGUUCAGCAACUUCAAGAAAAUGGUGGAAACUCAAUGUGGUCAGAAAAUUAAGAAGCUCAGAACUGAUAAUGGAGGAGAGUAUACUUCAAAAGAGUUCAGUGUUUUCUGUCAAGAAGCUGGAAUUGUGCAUCAGCUGACAGUUCCAUACUCACCACAGCAGAAUGGAGUUUCAGAGAGGAAGAACAGGACUGUGAUGGAGAUGACAAGGUGCAUUAUGUUUGAAAAGAAGCUACCAAAGUUUCUAUGGGCUGAAGCUGUAAACACGUUAGUUUACUUGCUCAACAGACUACCAACAAAGUCUGUUCAAGACAGAACACCAUUGGAGGCAUGGUCUGGUGUUAAGCCUACUGUCAAACAUCUCAAAGUGUUUGGAUCAUUGUGCUAUUUUCACGUGCCAUCUGCCAGAAGAGGGAAACUUGAUGAAAGAGCUGAAAAAGGAAUUUUUGUGGGAUAUGCAACAGAAUCUAAAGGUUACAGAAUAUACAAUCUGAGUGCAGCUAAAGUCCAGAUUAGCAGAGACGUUCAUUUUGAUGAAAAUUCUUACUGGAAGUGGGGCUUAAAGGAAGUUGAUUGCAUAACCACAGCUGCUCUUGAACCAGCAGUAGAAGGAACUUCAGAUACAGCAAUACUAAAGGUGAGACCUUUGUCUGAUGUAUAUGAGAGAUGUAAUCUGGUACAUGCUGAGCCUACAAGCUACACUGAAGCUGCAAGAUUUCCAGCUUGGAUUGAUGCUAUGAAGUCAGAAAUUGAUUCCAUUGAAAGAAAUGGAACCUGGAAAUUGACAGAACUUCCUCAGAACAAAAGAGAAAUUGGUGUGAAGUGGGUUUUCAGAACCAAAUUCAAUCCAGAUGGUUCAAUUUUCAGACACAAGGCUAGAUUGGUUGUUAAAGGCUUUGCUCAAAUUGCUGGAGUGGAUUAUGGUGAUACUUUUGCACCAGUUGCUAGGCAUGACACCAUUAGACUUCUACUUGCACUUGCGGGUCAAAAGGAAUGGAAAGUGUAUCAUUUAGAUGUCAAGUCAUCUUUUCUAAAUGGGAUACUCCUUGAAGAAAUCUAUAUUCAGCAACCGGAAGGCUUUAUAGUUACUAGCCAUGAACACAAAGUAUAUAAGCUACACAAGGCUCUUUAUGGCUUGAAGCAAGCACCAAGGGCUUGGUACAGCAAAAUUGAUACUCAUCUGAUUCAACUGGGAUUCAAGAGAAGUGAAAAUGAAGCUACUUUGUAUUUGAAACAAGAUGAAAAUGGUCUGCAACUAGUAAUUUCACUCUAUGUGGAUGACAUGCUAGUGACUGGUAGCAAUGUCAAAUUGCUGGCAGAAUUCAAAAGAGAAAUGCAUGAUGUUUUUGAAAUGUCUGAUCUUGGCAUUAUGAACUACUUUCUUGGAAUGGAAAUACAUCAAUGCAGCUCGGGUAUCUUUGUUUCACAAAAGAAAUAUGUUGUUGAUAUACUCAAGAGAUUUAAGCUUGAAUCAUGCAAAGAAGUAGCAACUCCAUUAGCAUAAAAUGAGAAGAUUUCAAAGAAUGAUGGUGAGCAACUUGAAGAACCUUCUGCAUAUAUAAGUUUAGUAGGUAGCCUACUAUACUUGACAGCAACUAGACCUGACUUGAUGUUCCCAGCUGGUUUACUGUCAAGAUUCAUGAGCUCACCUAGCAAUGUUCACAUGGGAGUUGCCAAGAGGGUCCUGAAGUAUAUUAGAGGGACAGCCGAUCUUGGAAUCUUGUACUCAAAGUCAGGAGGAGUAAAAUUAAGUGGAUAUGCAGAUAGUGACUGGGCAAGGAGUGUUGAUGAUAUGAAAAGCACUUCUGGAUAUAUUUUUACAAUUGGUUCAGGUGCAAUAUGUUGGAAUGCAAAAAAGCAAGAAGUGGUGGCACAAUCAACAGCUGAAGCAGAGUAUAUUUCCCUAGCAGCUGCUGCAAAUCAAGCAAUAUGGUUGAACAAAUUGCUUGCUGAUCUAGGCCAAGGAUAAAGAUCACCAACUAAGCUUUAUUGUGAUAACAAGUCUGCGAUUGCUAUUGCUCAAAAUCCGGUUCAAUAUGGCAGGACCAAGCACAUCAAUGUGAAAUUUCACUCCAUUAGAGAAGCUGAGAAGAAUUUACUUGUAAAGCUUCAUUACUGUCCAACCGAAAUACAACUUGCUGAUAUAAUGACUAAAGCACUUCCUAAAGCAAGGCUGGAAUUUCUAAGGAUGAAACUUGGUUUAUCCAAGGCAAAUCUCAAGGAGGAGUGUUAGAAUCUAUGAGAAUUUGCCUUUAUUUGAUAGCUGUUAGACUUGGUAUUUGGUUUUAUCUUCAUAACAGAUUCUGUUAUGAAUUUAUAGCAUUUUGAAUUUGGUUGUAAGCCUUUAAAUAGGCAGUCUUAAUUUAUAACAAUUAUUAUCAUUCAGCUUCAACUUUCUCUCUAUUAGAAUUCUCUGCAAUUGUUAUCUACUUAUACUGCAGAUUCCAAUAGUAUUUAAUAUACUGCAGAUUUCAACAAUCAGUAGGGGGAUGGAGGAUAUCUGGAGGCAGAAAUCUCGUCUGAAUUGGUGUAAAUUGGGUGAAAUAACACUCGAUUUUUCAAUAUAUCAGCUAGUAUGCGCAAGGCUAGGAUUAAGAUUUUUCGGAUUGAGCAUGAAGGAAGGAUUUUGAUUACUCCUAAAGGAAUCAAAGAUGCUGUUGUGGAUUUUUAUUCUAAUCUCUUCACAAAGCCGACCAUGCCUAGAAUUUCUACGGGUAGCUUGGGGUUCAAAAAAAUAUCUUUGGCAGUUUCGGAUUGGUUGGACGGAGCUCCGGAUUUAGAGGAAGUGAAGUGAGCCCUCUGGGAUUGUGAUAACUCUAAAGCUCCAGGGCCUGAUGGAAACAAUUUUGCUUUCUACAAAAAGACUUGGCAUUUACUCAACAAAGAGAUUUUCUUGAUGGUGACAGAGUUCUUCAGAACCUGUAAGUUACCUAAAGAUAUUAGCUCCUCUUUUGUUGCUUUAAUUCCUAAGAAUAAAAAUCCUGCAAGUUUUUCUGUGUGCAGGCCUAUCAGUCUCAUACAUGGUCUUUACAAAACUAUGGCGAAGCUGCUUUUUUCUCGGCUGAGGACUGUUAUGUCAGAUAUUAUAAGUGUGAAUCAGUCAACAUUUAUUGCGGGGCGGCAGAUUCUAGACGGUUUUAUAAUAGCAAACGAGGUAGUUCAUGGAAUUAAAAAAAGAGAUGCCACAUUUUUUUGUUUAAGGUGGAUUUUCACAAGGCUUUUGACUCCAUCCUGUGGGAGAACCUUGAUGAAACUUUGGGUUAAAUGGGUUUUAAUGGCCACUGGAGGGGUUUAAUUUAUGAGUGUCUUUCCAAUUCCAAAGAUGGCUGUCCUUAUCAAUGGGUCUCCUACCAAUGAAUUCAGUUUACAGAGGGGGUUGAGGCAGGGUGAUCCUCUUUCUCCAUUGCAUUGGAAGGUCUGACAGUUUUUUUUAACAGAGCCUCCUCAAUCAGAUACUUUAGUGGAUUAAUGGUUUCAUCACUCAUCUGCAAAAUGUAGGUGAUACUCUGACUAUGAAUCCCUUCAACAUGUCAAAAGGAUUCUACGCUGGUAUGAAAUUAUUUCAGGGCUUAAAGUUAAUUUUUACAAGAGUUCUCUGAUUGGCAUUAAUCUAGAUGAGAACUUCACUUCAAGGAUUGCUAGGGGUAUUUUCUGUUGUAAUGAUCAUUUUCCUGCUAUGUUCAUAUAGGCUUGCCUUUGGGUGCGAAUCCGUGCAGAUUAUCGACCUGGAAGCCACUGUUAACAUCUAUUGAGGGCAAACUAGGAUAAUGGAAAGGAUCUUUGCUGAGUAUGGCGCGGAGAAUAUUCUGCUUGAUCAAGUCUGUUUUGAGCUCUUUGCCACUUUUUUAUAUGUUUGUUUUUCUAAUGCCACAAGGCAUUAUUAAGACAAUUUCUUCCAUCCUUGGGAGAUUUCUUUGGAGUGGAAGCACAGACGUUAGUGAAAUGUGUAAAGUUGCAUGGAAUAAGGUUAUUAAACUGAAAGAUCAUGGAGGAUUGGGGCUCGGUUCUCUACAAGGGAAAAACUUGGAUUUGGCACCUUGAUGGUUGAAAUGUUGGCGGGUGGCAGGAGAUUAUUUUGAAUAAAUAUAGACCACUAUUUAGCAAUGGUCUUCCAUCCUUUAACUGCCAUCUUGUCCCCUACGUGGCGUGCUAUUCAGAGUUCAUUUUCCUCGGCAAGAUUAAGUGCAACUCUCAAUUCCAUCGUUUGUUUCAAACCUGGUAAUGGGCGGAUAACCAGGUUUUGGGAGGAUUGUUGGUGUGGCAUUGCUCCAUUGAAGUCACGGUGAAGCGAAGGUAAACAUGGGAACAGGGAAAAUCUCUAUCUGAAAGAUAAUAAGAUAUCAAAGAAGAAACAUUAAGAAAUAAAGGCCUGGGCAAAGAUUAAGUGGGCUUGGAACAAAAGGGAAAUGACAUGCGGAAAAAACCCUUAACGUGUUAUGCAAUCUGACGAACGCCAUCCCAAGGUCAAAAUAAAUUAAUUUAUGGUAUGAUCAAGCAAGGCAAUAAAAAUAAUUUCUCAACUUAUAAAUCUGAGAGAAGGGUGUAUGAUCGCGGGCAUAAAGUAGCUGAAAUUUACAUAAAACAAAGAAACUAAAUAAACUAAUUGGGUUAAUGGCAAGGAUUGUUGAUAACCAAUUUUUGACCCAUGUUUUGAUAAAUUUUCAGAAAAAUUCAAAAAUAGCGAAAAACAUUGAAAAUCCAAAAGAUACGUUUUUAAUACAUUUGCAUAGUUUUUAUCAUUUUUAGCAUCGUCUCAAAAGAAUUUAAAUUUUCAAGGAUAUUUGGAACGCGUUCAACUUUUAACGCAUCAUUUUUAAAAUCAUUGAUUUUCCACAUUGAGUCGAUUUUGAUAUUUGCUCGCUUUCAAAAAUACAAAAAAAAUAAGAAAAAUCAAAAUUUACAAAAAAAAAGAGGAAAAGAGAAGGAAAGGAAAAGUUGAGGGACUAAUUUGAAACCUAGCAAAACUUUUCCUAUAAAUACCAUGCUACACUAAAUUUUCGUAGGAGGUAUUUUGAAAUUAGGAGGAGACAACACAAAAGAGAAAAAACCCUAAAAAUGACCUAAACUUAUCUUCUCCAAGGGGGCCGCCGCCGCCCCCAGCUCUGAUUUUGUUCUUCUCUCCCAGCUGGUUCCACCAGCUGCUCCCCCCUCCCGGUCGUUGGUCCUCCUCCCAGCCAAAAACAAACCAAACAGCCCCUUUUGAUUUUCUCUCUUCUCCCUCAACCGGACAGCCUCUCCUCUCUCCCAGCCGCUGCCGCUCACUCUACAUCACAGCCGUUUCCUUCCACUACGGCAGCAACCGAGCAACAUCCCUCACGGACCCAGAUCGGUCCGCCGCUCCUUCCUCCUCUGCUCCUCCAGCCGCUCACAGCAGACGCCCAGCCAAGACCCUCUCCUCAAACAGAUCUUCACCACAGCUUCAACAGCCCCAGCUCGCCAAGAUCAAGCCGGCCGCCCCCUCACCAGGCUCCUCUCCUCUCUCAGGCGACCCAACGGCCUCCCUCUCCGGGUCAACGAACAAACCCGGCACAGCGGCGCCCACAGAACCCAAAUCGGUCCGCCUUCUUCCUCCAGCAGCGCCUGCACACCACCGCGGCCUAACACAGUGGCCUCCCCCUCACAACGGAUCUGCCAUCUGAAGAAAGAGAGAAGCAGAUCCGAAAGAGGAAGAAACAGAUCUAAGGAGAGAAACAGACUUGCUUGUUGCGUUUUGGGUGUUUUGUAGGUAACGGCGUUGUCACCACCAGCAGAGAAGGGAAGAGGAGAUGAAACUGAGCCAGAUCCAUCCGGCUUCCAAGUUUUGUGCGGCGGCGCGUGAACCCACGCGCCGCCAGUGACGGUGGCGCGUGGGAAGACGCGCCACCACUGUUCAUGUUGUUCCAGAAGGGCUUCCCAGCACUGUUAUGGAUUUUUGAGGGGUUAUUUUGUAAUUUUUAAAUUGAUUAAUGUAAUAUUUGUUUAGUUUGAAUUUUUAUUUGUAUGUUGUGAAUUUGGAUGUAACAAAAGAAACGAAAAGAAAAGAAAAGAAACAAAAAUAUAGGAAGAGUGAAUGUGUGUGUUUGUAUUUGUUUUUAUUUUUUUAUAUAUAUUUUUUAUGAUGAAAUUGCAAAGAUUAAAGAAGAAUUUAAUAUUUUGAUUGGGUCACGGUAAAGAAUUAUUAACUUAUACAUAAGUUGUAUUUCUAAUAUCCGAUGAAAAAACAAUUAUUAAAACUUCUUUAAACACAUCAAAUUCGCGAAGCAGCUUACCUCAGGUAGGGUGCGUUAGGGGUGCUAAUACCUUCCCUAACCACAACCAGUCCCUUACCCGCGAAUCUCUGAUAAGACCAGUAUAUCCGGUUUCCUAGUAGCCUUCAAUAAAUUACUAGGUGGCGACUCCAACGAAGCAAAUAACGCAACAACAAAAAAAAUCGCCAGCCGAUGCCGCGCGGAUUUUCUGACGUGCGACAGAAUGGCGACUCCACUGGGGAAGGUAUUGUUUCUAACAAUAUUGGACUAAGCUUUGUGUAUUUGAUGUGUUUAAGUUUUUGCAUUUUUGUCUUGUUUUAUUUUUGUUUUAUCCAUGCAUUUUUAGAAUUGUUUCAUGCAUUACUUGUAUUUAUUUUUGAAAGCACACACAAGCUUUUAGGUUAGGUGGGGAAUUAGCGAUCUGCCCUAAGACUAUUGGUCAGGGUUCAGAUGCGUGAAACACCCAACUCAUAUCUGAGUGCCUGCUUGGUAAUGGUGGGUAUAUGUACCUUAACCAUUUCUUGCAACGCCCCUAUACUGUCUGUACGAAGAUCGUCACUGGGCAGAUAUGAGACCCUUUUGAGACCAGAUAGAAAACCUACCCAUGAUCACAUAAUGAAUAGAACCUGUCCUUAGGUUGUAUGUGCUAUUUUUAUUUGCAUCAGGGCAAACUCUUCUUGAAGCAUCUUGAACUCAAGACUUGUGGGUGACCCAAUGGUCGUCACUCAGAAAAUUUUCAUUGUAGAGUUUGGGCAAGAAUCAAGAUUUUUGUUUCAUCAUACAAGAGUUAUGACCAUAUGUCACCCCUCGAAGGGCGAGUUCAUCAUAUAGUUUACAUGUUCAUACAUUUAUCAUGCAUGUACCGGGUUGAAAGAUAGGUUCUCCCACACAAGCUGUGCUACGCGCGAAUGAAGAAAGAUGAUAGAAGCAAGGAAAGUUGUCGGAGAGAGGCUCAUUGUCAAAAGGAAGUUGAGAGCAUCAGAGGUGAAGUAGCUAGAAUCAGAUCUGCUUGAACAAGUGUAGAGCAUCAAAGGGAAAGGGAAUGUCUACACAGUCUUCUGUGGGAACACUGCUUGUCCAUGUCCCAUUGAAGUUACACCUCCUCUUUUCAGUCAUGAAUAAUUGCAGCAAUGCCUUCAGUCAUCAGCUAAUGACAACCUUUGUUCUUGUUCAGUUGCACUGAUAAUUAUUCAUCGCCUCCGUAUCUGCUAAUGGAACCAAAUAACUACUAGUUUCUGUGCAUGGUACAUUAGCCUUCUUUGAAGUUACCCCAACUGUGAGCUCAAUUCCAGUUCAACAGCACAAGAUGUGGAAAAAAAAAUUAAAUAAAAAAAAACUGAAAAAAAAACCAUGAUUAGACACUGAACUUCUACGUUGCAGAGCUCUCUCUGUAGAGAUUUGUUUGUGGAUCUGCCAGUGGGGCAUGCAAGAGGGGAUGCAGUACUUUGACACGCUACAAAAAUUUGUCUCAUCAAUUUCAGCACCAAAACACUGUAGUAGGCAGAAAAGCCAGACUUGAGCUAGAAAACAGGAGCAAAUAUAGAACUUCAUCGUGGCAGAGCUCUCUCUGCAGAAAUCUGUUUGUAGCUCUGCAAGUGGAGAAUCCAAGAAGGGAUGCAGUAGUUUCUGAUCAUCUAUAAUUUUCUCUCAUCAGUGUUAGCUUGAAGAUGCAAAAGUAGGGAAAAGAGACAGACCUCGGCUGAAAAAUAGAAAGAAGAUUGAAACUUCAACAGAGCAGAGCUCCCUCUACAGGUGUCUGUUUGAUGCACCGUCAGUGAGGAAUCAAAGAGGAGACAAAGGAGUUUCAGAUUCAUCAGUUUCUCCUCCAAUAAAAACAAUGCAUCAUUUCACACAUUGACAGUGAUAGCGCUGCAUGAUUCUAUGCGCUGCCAAGAUUACUUAUCUGUUGGAAGGUUUCCAACAAUCCACAAACGACCACAACAACAUGGGAAGAUUGACAUGAUGUUGUAAGGAUUGCCUAAGGAAUUGAAUAAUCAAUGAAGAGAGGAAAGAUUGAAGGAUCUACCAUGGAUUCCAGAACAAUUAUAAGUGUUGAAUCAGAAGAUGACUCUCAAUUGAGAAACCUCAGUUAUUUUGCCUAGUCAGGUAUUGCCAUAAUAUCAACUGCUCAAAUAUCUUUGCCAAGAUUGACAUCCCACUGCCACUCAAGUUUGUCUACCAGCAUCUGCCAGAUUCUAGACUUAUUGCCUCGACUCCAUUAAAUCACAUGCAACCACCGUUUUCUAGGUGGUAUAAUCCAAACAAGAGAUGUGAUGUCAUGGUGGGGUCCUCAGCCAUUUCAAUUGAACAAUUGCAAGAAUCGAGUCUGGAAGUUGGUGAGCAAAAGACGAGAGGAAUCUGUGAAGGAGCUUGUCAUCGAUCAUUUUGUCGCCAGAACAUCCUCAGAAUGACGAGUGAUCGGAAUUGCUUGGCAAAACAGAGAUAUUGCCAAAGAGGCUGAUCUAAGAAGGGGUUAAACUGUCAAUCAUUUUUGUUAUGGAUUUUGCCAUCUUGCAUUUUGUUUUGGGGUCACAUCUCAUCCUUGAACGAAACAUGUCUUUCCUUUGUCUUCCUGAUGUUUUGAAAUCAAGAGAUGCUUCUUUCAAAGGGUAUUUUUACAAAAUAUUUUGAUCAAGCUCCAACAUGCGGUUAAGAUUAAUCAAUCCUGAAGAUUAAAAGUAUUUUGAUUGCAGAAAUAACUCGAUGCUUGAAAAUGACAUGAGGUGACCAAACAAUUUUGAACUCAUACCUCCUGAAACUGAACCACACAUCAUAUAACUAAGUUUUAGCAGUAUGCAUAACAACAUGUAGUGGAUUCAGUAGUUAUGGACUCGUGAAUCAUGACUCUUACAAGUCCAAAUCAUUACACUGGAUGAGGUCAAAAUUUAUCGGUUCUAACCGACCUUGCUUGAAACGAGAAAAGGCCAUCUUUGUUAUCCUUUCACAUUUCUUGAAAUAUUAUCCCUUGCAGUCCCAUUUUGAGCCUGGUAAAAUAUUUUCUUUCAAAAGGAAACCCUGACUAGGAUCACACCCCGCACUGGGGGCAAAUGAGAGAUAAUUUUGAAGACGAUGAUAGAAUUAAUGGAUAAAAAGAAGGGUAAGAUUGGAAGCCCAACAAUGAAAAAAAAAAGGAAAAAAAGAAACCAAGGAGUGAAGGGCAUCCAAGAAAACUUUGAGAAAGGCUAUGUAAAAGCAGAAAAAGUGGAAAUGAAGGAGAAUGCCUACCAAUUCUAAGAGGGGCAAAAGAAGUUUCAAUUGAAGAAAGACACAACGAAUGCCAAAAGUCAACAACAAAAAUUCAAGUUUCAUGUCUUUUGGCGUGUCUAGGAUAAAGCCUCUAGUGUCUUCAAAAAAAAAUUUAGAUUGGUUAUUCAUUAAAUAAAAAGUUGGAUUUGCAUUAUGACCUAUGUUAAGAGAAUUCUGAUCUUUUGAGGUUAACAAGGUUAUAUGUCACUUUCUCUACAAAGACAACAAGAGAAAGAGAAUUAAUGAAUAGUUAAUGGUGAUCCUAAGUCUUCGAAACCCUCAAACACUUUUGAGCCUAUGAAUUUCCUUUCUUUCAUAAGCCAUGCACCAUAGCCUGCAUUAAGUGCUUUUUAAAAGCCCUUUUUGAUCAAGUAAGCAAUCUGAACCGAUAAAUGACGAUCUUAAAACUUGAAGAGCCUUUCCAUAAGAGUCGUGGCUUCAUGGAUUAAGCUACUUGUUAUUAUGCAUGCUAAUAAAAUUGGUGCUAAAAAAAAGAAAACAAUCUUUCCUAAUGAAUCCUCAAGUUUUGACUUGAGCCUUUUGUUUCUUGAAAUUCACAUAAGGUCACCUCAUCGCAGACCAUCAAAAGAUAUACCCAAGAUCAAAGAUUAAAACUAAUACAAAGAACCAUGAAAAAGGUCAUUUUAAUCUUACAACGGGUCAUUUCUGUUUUCAAAAUACAAGACAGUAAAAAGAUUACAUUGAAUAGUGUGUGUUGGGUCUUUGACCAAAAAGCUUGAUUUUCAAAAAGAUCUUUUCCAAAACUGAUAUCUCUUUGAUUUCAUUUCAACAAUUAGACUUGAAUUGACAUGAUCUUUGAAAUAUGAGAGUUGAUUCCAGAACAAGAAAGAUUGUUAAACAACAAGAACAUCGACCGAAUUUGCAAAUUCCUUGACAAGAAUGACAUCAACAUUUCUCGACACUCCUUGAAAAGUUGACCACCUGGGGGCAAUACAGUGGAUCCUGAAAGGGAAACAAGCAGUAUUCAGAUUAGCUAGGGGGCAAUGAAAAAUGAUCAAAUGAUGAAUCAAUGCACUGAGAACAAUGGUGUUUAAAGAAAGCUAAUCAGCAGAACAAGCAUUCAGAUAAUUACUGGGGGCAAUGUUGUUCAAAGACAGUUAGUGAUUUAGUGAACUUCAGCAGCAAUUGAUGAGCAACGCUGCACUUGAAGGGCAUUUUUAUUAUCGUCAGCUAAAACAUGGCUAUGACUCCUAACAUAUGUUAUCAGGUGAGUGCAUUUGAAUGAACAUCGAAAGAUGCACACCACUAAGACUGACUGUGGGACCAUCUAUUCUGAAUCUCAAAUGCGCACUUCACCGCAUGAAUAUGGGUGAUGAACAUCAUUGAUGAUGCCAACGCAUUUCCGUUCAUGAUCUGAUUUGACAAACUGAGAGGAAUCCAUGGAGAAGAACAUUGAGCUUACAACAAAGAACUUUUCACUGCAAGCUAUGAGAUGCAUGUCUGGACGACUGGAUGAUUUCCAUGAAGACUGGUGAUAACAUUACUUGAAGAGUAUUGUUUCAGCUUGAGGCAAGUUUAUGACUGGUUGACAAUCAUGAUGGUAUUGGCACGAUGCGCACAAUCAAUGAGAGAACAAUUCUCAGGAUAAUACAGAGGAUGAAUGAUCGGUUAAGAUCUUCAUGAUGAAUCAAGCAACACCACACUAGGGGGUAGAGUCAAGCUUAAUAAACAACGAGAGCAGUAAUCAUCAUGGACAACCCAGGAUGGGCACUGCACUUACAGCUGAGUGGAUGACUAGCACAUGAAUGAGCCAAUGCAUCGAAAGAACAAAUAAAGCUUUGGAAUGCAAACAAAGGCACCCUGUGAUGAUGGAACAUCGAAGAGGGGGGACCUAUAUUUCGAAUCAGGUAAGGAUGCAUGCAUGUCAGCUAACGUUAAAACAUUGUACAUAUUUUUUAUUUUGUUGCAGGAAAAAUCCUCAAUGUAGUUUAGCAAGAUUGGGGACCAAAAAAAAAAGAGAGAAAAAAAGGGAGAAUCAUUGAGCUGAUAAUAACAGAGAAUCAUGGUUGUGACCUUGGAACGGGAAGAAGAUGAGAUAAGCCUUACUGUUAGGAAAAUCUCAAAGAAAUGAAAAGAUCAACCUUGCAAUCAGGAAGCAUCGAGUUUUCAAACCCUGCGAUCAAGAAUUAUCAAGAAGCACCAAGUUUUCUGGCCCUUCUUCUAUCAUCCCUUCAGGACUUCGCCAGGUAAGUCCCAUUUUUCACACUUGUCACAUCACAUCUUUCAUUUGGGUAGGUCACCCAUAACAAUGAGACCAUUUCAUAUUUUUUCUAUCCUCCACCUGGGUAGGUCACCCAUAACAAUGAGACCACUUCAUAUUUGUUCUAUCUUCCAUCUGGGUAGGUCACCCAUUACAAUGAGACCACUUCAUAUUUUUUCUAUCCUCCACCUGGGUAGGUCACCCAUAACAAUGAGACCACUUCAUAUUUUUUUUAUCUUCCAUCUGGGUAGGUCACCCAUUAUAAUGAGACCGCACAUCAUAUUUUUUCCAUCUGGGUAGGUCACCCAUAACAAUGAGACCACUUCAUAUUUUUUCUAUCUUCCAUCUGGGUAGGUCACCCAUUAUAAUGAGACCGCACAUCACAUUUUUUCCAUCUGGGUAGGUCACCCAUAACAAUGAGACCACUUCAUAUUUUUUCUAUCUUCCAUCUGGGUAGGUCACCCAUUAUAAUGAGGCCACACUUCACAUUCUUUCCAUUUGGGUAGGUCACCCAUCAUAAUGAGACCGUUUUCCAUAUUCUUUCCACCUGGGUAGGUCACCCAUUACAAUGGGAUCACUUUUUGCACAUUUUUUUAGUUUUGAUUUAAUGAGGUCGCCAGAUGGGAUCUCAUGUAGCUUUGGUUAAAGGGAAUUGCCAGAUGGGAUUUCAGGUUGACCGAGCUACACACAUUUUUUUAGUUUUGAUUUAAUGAGGUCGCCAGAUGGGAUCUCAUGUAGCUUUGGUUAAAGGGAAUCGCCAGACGGGAUUUCAGGUUAACCGAGCUACCACACAUUUUUUAGUUCCAGUUGAAUGAGGUCGCCAGAUGGGAUCUCAUGUAGCUUUGGUUAAAGGGAAUCGCCAGAUGGGAUUUCAGGUUAACCGAGCUACCACACAUUUUUUAGUUCCAGUUGAAUGAGGUCGCCAGAUGGGAUCUCAUGUAGCUUUGGUUAAAGGGAAUCGCCAGAUGGGAUUUCAGGUUGACCGAGCAACACACAUUUUUUAGUUCCACUUUAAUGAGGUCGCCAGAUGGGAUCUCAUGUAGCUUUGGUUAAAGGGAAUCGCUAGAUGGGAUUUCAGGUUGACCGAGCUACACACAUUUUUUAGUUUUGGUUUAAUGAGGUCGCCAGAUGGGAUCUCAUGUAGCUUUGGUUAAAGGGAAUCGCCAGAUGGGAUUUCAGGUUGACCGAGCUACACAUUUUUUUUAAGUUCCAGUUGAAUGAGGUCGCCAGAUGGAAUCUCAUGUAGCUUUGGUUAAAGGGAAUCGCCGGACGGGAUCUCAGGUUAGCCCAACCACACAGGAUAUUGGUUCUGGUUAAAGGGGAUCGCCGGACGGGAUCUCAGGUUAGCCCUACCACACAAGAUAUUGGUUCUGGUUAAAGGGGAUUGCCAGACGGGAUCUCAGGUUAGCCCAACCACACACACGAUAUUGGUUCUGGUUAAAGGGGAUCGCCAGACGGGAUCUCAGGUUAGCCCAACCACACACAGGAUAUUGGUUUUGGGAAAGGAGAUCGCCAGAUGGGAUCUCAAGAUCAAAAAAAAAAAGAGAGAGAGAAACAUAGAAAGAAAGAAAAAAGAAAAAAAAAGAAGGAAGAGAGAACAGAAAAAAAAAAAAAAAGAGCAAGGUCUUUAGAUGAGUGGAGAUUGAGCAAGUUAGGAAGACAAAAAGGCAAAUUUUUCUUUACAAAGCUUACUAUGCAAAACAUUGAGGAGUUUUGCUUCGUAAGCAUUGUAAAGAGGGGGCAUAUGUUGAUAACCAAUUUUUGACCCAUGUUUUGAUAAAUUUUCAGAAAAAUUCAAAAAUAGCGAAAAACAUUGAAAAUCCAAAAGAUACGUUUUUAAUACAUUUGCAUAGUUUUUAUCAUUUUUAGCAUCGUCUCAAAAGAAUUUAAAUUUUCAAGGAUAUUUGGAACGCGUUCAACUUUUAACGCAUCAUUUUUAAAAUCAUUGAUUUUCCACAUUGAGUCGAUUUUGAUAUUUGCUCGCUUUCAAAAAUACAAAAAAAAUAAGAAAAAUCAAAAUUUACAAAAAAAAAGAGGAAAAGAGAAGGAAAGGAAAAGUUGAGGGACUAAUUUGAAAACCUAGCAAAACUUUUCCUAUAAAUACCAGCUCUGAUUUUGUUCUUCUCUCCCAGCUGGUUCCACCAGCUGCUCCCCCCUCCCGGUCGUUGGUCCUCCUCCCAGCCAAAAACAAACCAAACAGCCCCUUUUGAUUUUCUCUCUUCUCCCUCAACCGGACAGCCUCUCCUCUCUCCCAGCCGCUGCCGCUCACUCUACAUCACAGCCGUUUCCUUCCACUACGGCAGCAACCGAGCAACAUCCCUCACGGACCCAGAUCGGUCCGCCGCUCCUUCCUCCUCUGCUCCUCCAGCCGCUCACAGCAGACGCCCAGCCAAGACCCUCUCCUCAAACAGAUCUUCACCACAGCUUCAACAGCCCCAGCUCGCCAAGAUCAAGCCGGCCGCCCCCUCACCAGGCUCCUCUCCUCUCUCAGGCGACCCAACGGCCUCCCUCUCCGGGUCAACGAACAAACCCGGCACAGUGGCGCCCACAGAACCCAAAUCGGUCCGCCUUCUUCCUCCAGCAGCGCCUGCACACCACCGCGGCCUAACACAGUGGCCUCCCCCUCACAACGGAUCUGCCAUCUGAAGAAAGAGAGAAGCAGAUCCGAAAGAGGAAGAAACAGAUCUAAGGAGAGAAACAGACUUGCUUGUUGCGUUUUGGGUGUUUUGUAGGUAACGGCGUUGUCACCACCAGCAGAGAAGGGAAGAGGAGAUGAAACUGAGCUAGAUCCAUCCGGCUUCCAAGUUUUGUGCGGCGGCGCGUGAACCCACGCGCCGCCAGUGACGGUGGCGUGUGGGAAGACGCGCCACCACUGUUCAUGUUGUUCCAGAAGGGCUUCCCAGCACUGUUAUGGAUUUUUGAGGGGUUAUUUUGUAAUUUUUAAAUUGAUUAAUGUAAUAUUUGUUUAGUUUGAAUUUUUAUUUGCAUGUUGUGAAUUUGGAUGUAACAAAAGAAAGGAAAAGAAAAGAAAAGAAACAAAAAUAUAGGAAGAGUGAAUGUGUGUGUUUGUAUUUGUUUUUAUUUUUUUAUAUAUAUUUUUUAUGAUGAAAUUGCAAAGAUUAAAGAAGAAUUUAAUAUUUUGAUUGGAUCACGGUAAAGAAUUAUUAACUUAUACGUAAGUUGUAUUUCUAAUAUCCGAUGAAAAAACAAUUAUUAAAACUUCUUUAAACACAUCAAAUUCGCGAAGCAGCUUACCUCAGGUAGGGUGCAUUAGGGGUGCUAAUACCUUCCCUAACCACAACCAGUCCCUUACCCGCGAAUCUCUGAUAAGACCAGUACAUCCGGUUUCCUAGUAGCCUUCAAUAAAUUACUAGGUGGCGACUCCAACGAAGCAAAUAACGCAACAACAAAAAAAAUCGACAGCCGAUGCCGCGCGGAUUUUCUGACGUGCGACAAGGAUGAUGAUGAAUAUUGAGACUAAAGAAAAGAAAAAAGGUAAAAAAAAAAUGCAAAGCGUAUUGGUUUGGAUCCAUGAAUGCAAAGGAGACCAAAGACUUGCAUAAAAUAAUAAAUCUGGCAAGGAAUGUAAGAAUGACAAAACAACGUUUCGAGGAAAAAAAACAAAGAAAACGUGAAACAUGCAAAAUUGCAGCUCAAAAGAAUCAUAAAAAAAUAAUUGGAAUAAAGGUGGCAAAUACACAACAAACAAAGAUCAAGGCAUCAAAAAGAACAUUAGAUGCAACUAAACACUGAAAUAUUAUAAUUAAGAUUAUACACGCAAGAAAACCUCAAGAGGUGUCGACAAAGCAUAAGCAAGCAUGAAUAACUUACCACAAUGAAAAAAAAAAUUCAAAAACAGAAAAGCUUUGAGAAAAAAAUCAAAUUUAAUGUCCAGCUGCGUUAAUGAUUUUUUUUUUUUUUGGAAGUGGCAAAUUUAUACUUAUAAAAAGUAAAAGUGAGAUGUUUGUAAAAAGGAGAUAUUUUUUUAUGACAUUUUCAAAAAGAAUAUAAUGACUAUUGCAACUAAGGAGGAGAUGAAUAACAAUAAUAAUAAUAAUAAUAAUAAUGCAUUUUUAAUAAAAUAAGGGACCUGUAAACGAUUUGGAAUCUAGUGAAGAUCUUAAAGCAUGAUCUAUUAGAUAAACCUUAAAAGAUAGGUUACAAGUGAGAAAGAGUGUUAGAAUCACCGAUCCUAUAUAUAUAUAUAUAUAAUAUAAGAAUAAUAUAUAAAUUAAGAAUAGAUCAUGCACCACUGCAUGCAAAGUUUAAAUCUUUUCAAUAAAAUUAAAACUCAACUAUCUGAUAAAUUCAAUAUUCAAUAUUGCUUUCUUAUUCACUGAAUACAAGUUACUUUAAACGUUACAGUACUUCCUCUUUAUAUAGCAGUAGAGGUAGAAUAUUAUUAACUAAUCUAUCCCAACUUUACGGAAACAAUUCCUAUUUUUACGCUAGUAUUAUUAACAGACUUAAAUAUAACAGUAAAUGAAGAAUAUAUAUAUAUAUAUAUAUAUAUAUAUAUAGAGAGAGAGAGAGAGAGAGAGAGAGAGAGGAUAUUAUUAAGGCUUAAAUGUCUUGAAUCUUCAACACUCCCCCUCAAGUUGGUGCAUAGAUAUCGCAUAUGCCCAACUUGUUGAGACAACAAUUAAAGCUUUGGCUAGACACUGCCUUGGUUAAUAAAUCGGCAAGUUGUUCUUGAGACUGAACAUGAAGGACUUCGAUAAUUUUUUCUUCUAACUUUUAUUUGAUGAAAUGUCUAUCCACCUCAACAUGUUUAAUUCUAUCAUGUUGGAUGGGGUUAUGGGCGAUAUCGCAUGCCGCCUUGCUAUCACAAUAUAAUUUCAUAGCAUUUGUCUGCUCAACAAGCAAUUCUUGCAUCAGAUUCCUGAUCCAUAAUAACUCGCAAAUUGCUUUGGCCAUCCCCCUGUAUUCGGCUUUGGCUGAUGAUCUAGCCACUACUUCUUGUUUCUUACUUCGCCAAGUGACCAAAUUCCCCCCCACAAAUGUAAAAUAUCCAGAUGUAGAUCGUCGAUUCUCUAUUGACCAGCCCAGUCAGCAUCGGUGUACCCUUCAAUUUUUAAGUUUUCUCCUUUCUUAAACAGAAUUCCUUUUCCUGGAGAUGAUUUCAGGUACCUCAAGACCCGAGUAACAACCUUCAUGUGUUCUUCGCUUGGGGAGUGCAUGAAUUGACUAAUCACACUUAAAACGUACGCCAAGUCAGGUCUGGUAUGUGCGAGAUACAUUAAUCUCCCCACCAGUCUCUGAUAUCUCUCUUUAUUUGUAUGGAUUUGUUGUGGAUGUAUACUUAGUUUCAGAUUUUCUUCUAUAGGAGUACUGAUUGGGCUACAUGUUGUCAUACAUGUUUCUUUCAUAAAUCCAAGGCAUACUUUCGUUGAGACGGAAAUAUUUCUUCUUUCGAUCUUGAUACUUCAAUGCCAAGGAAGUAUUUUAAAUGGCCAAGAGACUUCAUUUUGAAUUCCUAAGCAAGGUGAAUUUGUAAUGCUUCUUUUUCCUCAUGAUCAUUUCCAGUAACUAUCAUAUCAUCAACGUAUACAAUGAGAGCUGUGAUUGUCUUUUUAUUUCCUUUUAAGAAAAGGGCAUGAUCUGAGUUGCUUUGUUUGUAUGCAAUAGAUUUCAUAAAUUUGGUGAACCUUCCAAACCAUGUUCUAGGAGAUUGCUUUAACCCAUAUAGGGAUUUCCUUAGUCUGCAUACCUGUGUGCUUCCUUGGGUUUGCAACAUACAUCCAGGAGGUUAUUCCAUAUAUACUUCUUCUUGGAGAUCCCCAUGCAAGAAUGCAUUUUUUACAUCAAAUUGGUAUAGGGGCCAGUCAAGGUUCACAACUAGAGAUAUUAGGAUCCAUACAGUAUUGAUUUUAGCCACUGGUGCAAAAGUUUCUGUAUAAUCAAUCUCGUAUGUUUGAGUGUAUCCUUUGGCAACCAACCUUGCUUUAAAUCUUUCAAUGGUACCAUCCAUUUUAUGUUUAAUGGUAAACACCCUCCUGCAUCCAACCGAUACUUUUCCUAUGGGUAAGUCAACCACUUCCCAUGUUGAAAUUUUUUGAAGAGACCUCAUUUCUUCAUUCAUAGCUUCUUUCCAUUUAGGAUCUUUCAUAGUUUCCUGUACACUAUUAGGGAUAGAUAUAGCAGAUAAUUGUUUCACAAAAGUUUUAUUUUCCUUUGACAGCCUAUGAUAGGAUACAAAAUUAUUCAUAGGGUAAUGUGGUUUAGAAGUGAAGAGUGGUUCAUAGUCAUUUCUGGGUUUUCCUCGUGUAGUUCUAUGCGGUAGAAUUUUAAGUUGAGUUUCAGAACUUACCUGAGGUUCGGGCAUAGAUUCAAACUCAGAAAUCACUUGUUCUGUUGGCACAUUAUGCAUGGGGAAAGCUGAUGACUGAGAUUCUGAUUGCCUUACUACUUCUGUCUGGUCUUCAGUAUAUGGUUGCGGCUCUAGUUGUAUCAUCUCUUGUGACUGUGGCUUGGUGUAAUAUUUUUCACUUAUAGCAUCCAAGUGAUACAUGUUGUCUUUGGGAGCCUGCAAGUUACCUUGGUUGUCCUCGUCAUUGAUCCUUUCAUAAGUGGAAUAAUACAUUUUAUCUUCAUGAAAUACAACAUUAAGAGUAACAUAUAGUUUAUGGGUUGGAGGAUGGUAACACCGGUAACCUUUUUGGUGUUGAGCAUAACCAACAAAGACACAUUUGAUUGCCCGAGGUUCCAGCUUGUUUCUUAAAGGCUUGUGGAGAUGAACAAAUGUUGUACAUCCAAAAACUUUUGGUGGUAGAUUCGACACAGUAGGUGAUUUUAUGGCAUCGUGAAGCACACUUAAUGGAGUCUGAAACUGUAGGGUACUUGAGGGUAGUCUGUUGAUGAGGUAUGCUGCUGCUGUAAUGGCUUCCCCCCAGUAUCUAGUUGGCAUAUGAGCUCCAAACAAGGAAGCCCGAACAACUUCAAGAAGCUGGCGGUUCUUGCGCUCUGCCACCCCAUUUUGCUGAGGGGUGUAAGGACAGGUAGUUUGAUGAGUAAUCCCAUGGUCAACUAGAUAUUGUUUCUGUUAUUGGCUAAUAAAUUCUCCACCAUUGUCACUACGCAGAACCUGUAUAUUAGAGUUAUAUUGUGUGGCUAUCAUAUUGCUUUCUUAUUCAUUGAAUACAAGUUUCUUUAAACGUUACAAUACUUCCUCUUUAUAUAGCAGUAGAGGUAGAAUAUUAUUAACUAAUCUAUCCCUUAACUUUACGGAAACAAUUCCUAUUUUUAUGCUAGUAUUAUUAACAGACUUAAAUAUAACAGUAAAUGAAGAAAUAUAUAUAUAUAUAUAUAUAUAUAUAUAUAUAUAUAUAUUAUUAAAGCUUAAAUAUCUUGAAUCUUCAACACUAUCAAAUUCAAUACAUACCAAAAUACACACUAGAUCCAAUAGUACAUAUAAUAUCCACGAGUCACUGCUCGUUUUAUUACAAUACAUUCGACAACAUUCAUAGAGAGUUCCACCAUGAGCUCAAAGUACGAAUUCUACACCAUUAUUCAUACAGAGGGACUUGCUCAAUAUAUAAUAAAGUGACAUAAUCUUUUAAACUUGAUGGAAUUGUGUAGGCAUCGUCAUCAUUCCCAUAAAUAACAUCUGUAACUCGAAUAAGAUUAACAAAAUGUUGAAGGAGAAGCAUUGGAGCAUUAGUUGGCCUCAUGCAAUCUUCAUUGAUAUCCUUCCACGCAUUAACGUCCAUCUUUUGUAUCUCUUCAAUUGCUUUCUUCUCCGAUACAUCAUAUUGUUUCAUGUAGCAUUCAACACCGGAUGCGCAGUCUCCUCUCUUUUGUUCAUCCUUCAAAAUAUAUAAACGAUGUUAUAGUUUUUAGAAAAUAAACUUAACAUGAAAAAUUUCUAAACACAAAAAUAUUAAGAAGAAAGAAAGUCAUGAGUUGAACCUUGGUUCAAUUUUUUGAUGCACGAAAUAAUUGAAAAAUCUUGUAAGUUAUUAAGUAUAUCAUAAGAUGAACUAAUACUUUUUCAUUUAAAAGAUAGAAUUUGUAAAUAAUUUUCAAAAUUGGUUCCUUGCUUAUAUAAGAUAUGAGAAUACAAUUCUCGAUGUAUCUAGUAAUUUUUAAUUUUAAGAAUUCAGACAUCGUACCUCGUGGCCCACAAUGUCAUUCAUCAAACGACCGAUCAUCUUUCCAGCUUUAAUAAUUUUUGGAUUACUUUUUAGCCAUUCAUACUCCUCCCCUCCUGCAACUUCUUCCAUUCCAAGGAAGGAUGCUGCCAUAAUUACCCCAUAAGCACUUGUGGCUAAUCCAUUGCGCACAUACUCAUCGAAUGUUGGGACAUGGCAUUUAUCUGCCCACUCCGCCUCCGCAUGGUAGCCUCUCACCAAUUCUUUGAACUAAUAGCAUACAAAUAAAACAAAGAUUGUGUGGUAAAACCUAUGCAAUAUUUAAAUUAAUAUAUAUACAAUAACAAUAUAUUAUGCUAGAAAUAGUAAAAGAAAGCAUGAGACUGGAAAAAUAUUCAUACUGCUUCCUUCACAUAAUAUGAGGCAUAGUAUCUUCCUUGCUUUCCCAUAUCAUUCUCAGUUUCGUUGAAAAGAUUCAGAAGAGCUCUAUAAAGAACUUUCAUGUAAUCGGCAGGUAGUUGAUCAAUAGCAUUCAUGCUGCAUCUGAAAUUGAGACAGAAAAUUACAUUUCCUUUCCUGAACAUCUUUGUAUCGACUUCUUUGUUUAUGAAAGAUUUAGAAGAGAAAGACAGACUAUGAGGUAACAAGAAACAAACCUUUCAAUUGCAUUAGUAAAAUGUUGUAUUUCUUCAAAAGAUGCAUAUGCAUCAUAUGUAUCAUCUACCAGUGAUACAAUUUUUGUAUAUUUCGUGACCAUCAUCCGAGAGAAAGCAUAUUGAGGCUCGAAAUGGAUUCCAUUUGCCCAGAAGUAGAUCUCUACAAUUCUAUCUCUUGCAUAUGGAAACUCCUCAGAAAAAUUUAAAUCAUUCCACCACCUAAAAUGUAAAUAGCAACGGAGUAAAGAAAUUCCAAUAGAAACUUAGUUUGAUAUUUCUCUCUAACUUAAACAAAAAAUUACCUGGAGAGAAUGGAUAGCUCUUGUCGAUGUAUUAACUGAACUCGAUUGAAAUCUAUCUUGGCAAACUUGAGUAGAGUGUCAAUGCGAGACUCCUCUUCUUCGUAGAAAGAGAUGUAUUUUCUAGCCUCUAUUCUUGGUACGCCUUUGUGAAAGGGCCGGAUCAAAGCAUUCCUAAUAUGGUCUGCUAGACGUGGGUUUGAUUGCAUAGCCAAAGACUCCAGGUUUGCCUUUGUGAAAACAAGAGCUUCAUCCAGUACCUGUUCUCCAUGCACACUUAACAAUGAAGCUUCAUACAAGCUCAGGAUGCCUUUAACAUCGUUGAUGAUUGUUUUCUUAAACUCUCCAUUGGUGUCCUUGAACUUGUCGAACACAACUGAUGAUUCAUAAGAAAAACACAAUACAAAUUUUAGCCAAUUUUCAAAAGAUGUUUGUGGAUUAUGAAAGAAUAUUUAUUUAGUUUCACGGAAGUUUUGCUAGUCACAAUAACUUUACUGUUCUAGUCUUUUUUUUAAUAAUCUUAAUUUGACCAUAUAUUACUUCUUGUGAAAGAAAGAUUUAGCAGAGUUUAGAGUACUGUUCAAGAAAUAAUUUUUGAGAUGUUAAUUAAAGUUUGAAAGGCUAUAAAGUGGAAGUAUGCGCUCACCGCAAGGCAUUUUGAAUCCAUGCUGUCUUAAUACUCGGAAUAGUAGUGACACAGUGUAGAGAUCAAAGUCAUGCUUCUCAAGAAGAUUAGGAAGGUCAUAAAAAAUUUCUUUAAGGCUGUUUUCAAUCUCGUCGUCAAAAUGAUAUGACACACCAAGCCGACAUAACAGAUUAAUGAAUUCAAUAUGUUCCACUGGAUCCUUUUUGGACGCCAUCAGCAUGUCCUUCACAUUUUCCUUCAACACUUCUACUUGUCUGGUGUACCACUCGAAUUCCUGCAGUGAAAUAUUCAGUAAGAAUCAACUGUCUUAUUAAUUAGAUUUUAAAAUGAUUGCUUUAUAUAUAUAUAAAAAAAAAGAGAGUUAGUUACAACUUAAUCUCUAGUUUAUCUGAACUAAUUAAACAAUUAUUAAAGUUUUAGAAACUAUAUGGAAAAAAAAAGAAUUUUAUUCUAUCAAAAGAUGAAUUCUUUGUUUAAAAUAAAAGCAAUCAACAGCUAGACAAAAGUGUAACUACUUUAAUUAAAAAAAUUAGAAACAAAUUGUAAAACAUCAGAUUACAAUCUUAGAGCAGAAUUGGAUGAUGGAUCCCACAAAUCUAAUGGCUCUAAUAGCUUGUAUAUAGUUUUGAAACUUAAAUUUUCUUAAUACUGCUAUACAUACAUAGAAGAAAAGUAAUUUACCGCUUGUGGGAAGGAAAAUGAAGCGAAGCUACAACCCCACAAGCUUGGUGGGAAAUUUGCCUCUGGACGAGAAUUGUUUUGGCGAUUACUGCUUGCUGUUAAAUGUGCUUGGGUUUCCAUUUUUUUUUUAGAUGAACUAGAGGCCAGUUCUUUAAUUGCUGGUUGAGUAUCUAAAUCAUCAAAGGAAGGCUAUUUAUAAUAGAAUAUCAAGACGUUACAUAAGAAAAAUGAUUUUGGUAUUGAAGCAUAAGAAAAAAGGUUCAAUUUUGUCUUCAAUCAUGAAAUGGCUUCAAAUGAUUUGAUACAGUUUAGCCUCAAAAUAGACUUGAUUGCAUAGUAGCAAGAUAAUCUGGGUUGCGUGGAAACAUAUCAUUUCUAUACAAAAAUUAUAAAAAUACAGAAAUUCAUUUUAAAAUGGUAUCCGAAACACAUUCAUUACUAACUCUUUAUUUUCAUCUCUAUAACCAAAUAUAUUUAUAUAUUUAUUAUUUUCAUCUCUUUUAUUUUAUAACAAUAACCAAAUACUUGUUUUUUU
Molecule: long non-coding RNA, 64297 nt
Filed under: Populus trichocarpa (black cottonwood)
Lineage: Eukaryota; Viridiplantae; Streptophyta; Magnoliopsida; Malpighiales; Salicaceae
Description: long non-coding RNA (PTRI_LNC004114)
Source: RNAcentral